UUUUUUUUUUUUAAUCUAAUUAUGGUGUUUAUAGUGCCAGGUCUCUGUGAUGCAGGAGACGGUUAAGCUUAGUCCAUUCUAGUUUACAUGAUAUUUUCCUAAUUAAGUGUUUUCCUUUUCUAAUUAGGAUUUUAGUAAUUAUCCUAUUUUAUGCAUUAGGCUUUCUCUAUAAAUAGAGACCCUAGAUCGUUUGUUUUGAACACAACUAUUAUUCAUUCUUAUUAAUCAAAGUCUUGAGUUUUCGAGCUUUACCUUUUCUGGUGGAUUCCAGAGCUUUUUCUUCAAGUUUGUCGCUUGCAAACUUGAGCUUUCAAUUCCAAGACCAACGCUUGUUGUCUUGGUGCAUUCCGACUGCGUCAAGUGGUAUCAGAGCAGGCUAUCUCCUUCUCUCUUCGAAGCUUGAACAGCUAUGGGUGAUCGACCGUUAACCGAAGCCAACAUAGAGGGUUUAAGAGGUGAACUCGUCAAUUUAAAUACUCGGAUGGCGGACUUGUUGACAGCGCUUAACAAUCAGUUUGCGGCUUUACCCCAGCAGAUUGCUAACGCGAUACAAGGAGGAGGAGAACAAAGGGGACCAAAUCUGAAUCAACAAGGAGAAAACAAUCCGGCUGUUGUGGUACCAGCUCGGGCCCAACAAGGUGGAAACAAUCAACGACCCGGUGGAAACAAUCGACAACAAGGCAGACACAAUCGUGUGGUUGCUGACAAUUCCAGCUCGGAGGAGGAUUCAGAAGAAGAAGUUGUGGAAGACGAAGUUGAGCAGAGAAAUCGUCAAGGAAACCAUGACUACCGAGUCAAAGUUCAACGGAACCAUGGGAGUUGAGGAGUUUUUGGAUUGGCAGAUCGACGUUGAUAGAUUUUUCGAAGUCAUGGAGGUUCCUGAGAAUAAGCAAGUUAAGAUGGUGGCAAUUAGACUGAAGAAAACUGCUGCCGUGUGGUGGGAUAAACUAGUCGUUCAAAGGCAAAGACAAAGGAAAGGACCAUUCAAGACAUGGAGGCGAAUGAAACAGCUCAUGAUGGAAAAGUUCUUACCUGAGGACUAUGAACAGAUUCUCUACAAGAUGUACAUUGAAUGUGUUCAAGGAAAGAGGACCGUGGCAGAAUAUACAGCAGAGUUCUUGCGAUUCUCAGAGCGCAAUGAUUUAGAAGAAACAGAAAAUCAGAAAGUUGCAAGAUACAUCAGUGGGCUGAAGAGUUCUAUACAGGAGAGGAUAGGUUUACAAACUGUAUGGACUGUACAAGAGGCUUCUAGUCUAGCUUUGAAAGCUGAGUUAAUGGAGAAAUCUCCNNNNNNNNNNNNNNNNNNNNNNNNNNNNNNNNNNNNNNNNNNNNNNNNNNNNNNNNNNNNNNNNNNNNNNNNNNNNNNNNNNNNNNNNNNNNNNNNNNNNAACUAGGGACGACCAUUUGGGGCAUUUGAAUCAGGUUUUGCAAGUCCUCCAAGAAAAUCAGCUGUACGUGAAUCUAAAGAAGUGUACAUUCUGCACCAACAAAUUGUUAUUUCUGGGGUUUGUUGUUGGUGAGGAUGGGAUUCAGGUGGACGAAGCCAAAGUGAGUGCAAUCCAAGAUUGGCCUGUUCCUAAAUCCGUAACUGAAGUACGUAGUUUUCAUGGUCUUGCUACUUUCUAUAGAAGGUUUGUGAGAGACUUUAGCACCAUUACUGCACCUAUUACUGAGUGUUUGAAGAAGGGAAGGUUUCAUUGUGGUCCGGAACAAGACGAGAGCUUUGCAUUAAUUAAAGAGAAGCUUUGUACUGCUCCAGUAUUAGCAUUACCGGAUUUUGAUAAAGUGUUUCAAGUGGAGUGUGACGCAAGUGGCGUGGGAAUAGGAGCUGUACUGUCACAAGAGAAGCGACCUGUAGCUUUCUUUAGUGAAAAGCUAAGUGACGCACGCCAGAAGUGGAGUACUUAUGAUCAGGAGUUUUAUGCUGUGUUUCGAGCUUUAAAACAAUGGGAGCACUAUCUGGUUCAGCGUGAGUUUAUACUUUUCACGGACCAUCAAGCUCUCAAAUUUCUUCACAGCCAAAAGGUGAUCAAUAAGAUGCAUGCUCGAUGGGUUAGUUUUCUGCAAAAAUUCCCUUUUAUUAUUCAGCACAAGUCUGGGACACUUAAUAGGGUAGCAGAUGCUUUGAGUAGAAGGGCUUCCUUAUUAACUACCUUAGCACAUGAGGUUGUGGGUUUUGAGUUCUUAAAAGAUUUGUAUGCACAAGAUGAAGAAUUCAAGGAAUUGUGGGUUAAGUGUUGUAAGAAACACCCUUCAGCUGAUUUCCAUGAACGUGACGGUUAUCUUUUUAAAGGAAAUAGGCUUUGCAUUCCUUGUUCUUCUUUGCGUGAGAAGUUGAUACGAGAAUUACAUAGUGGUGGUCUUAGUGGUCAUUUGGGACGAGAUAAGACAAUUGCAAGCUUGGAGGAAAGGUAUUUUUGGCCGCACCUUAGNNNNNNNNNNNNNNNNNNNNNNNNNNNNNNNNNNNNNNNNNNNNNNNNNNNNNNNNNNNNNNNNNNNNNNNNNNNNNNNNNNNNNNNNNNNNNNNNNNNNNNNNNNNNNNNNNNNNNNNNNNNNNNNNNNNNNNNNNNNNNNNNNNNNNNNNNNNNNNNNNNNNNNNNNNNNNNNNNNNNNNNNNNNNNNNNNNNNNNNNNNNNNNNNNNNNNNNNNNNNNNNNNNNNNNNNNNNNNNNNNNNNNNNNNNNNNNNNNNNNNNNNNNNNNNNNNNNNNNNNNNNNNNNNNNNNNNNNNNNNNNNNNNNNNNNNNNNNNNNNNNNNNNNNNNNNNNNNNNNNNNNNNNNNNNNNNNNNNNNNNNNNNNNNNNNNNNNNNNNNNNNNNNNNNNNNNNNNNNNNNNNNNNNNNNNNNNNNNNNNNNNNNNNNNNNNNNNNNNNNNNNNNNNNNNNNNNNNNNNNNNNNNNNNNNNNNNNNNNNNNNNNNNNNNNNNNNNNNNNNNNNNNNNNNNNNNNNNNNNNNNNNNNNNNNNNNNNNNNNNNNNNNNNNNNNNNNNNNNNNNNNNNNNNNNNNNNNNNNNNNNNNNNNNNNNNNNNNNNNNNNNNNNNNNNNNNNNNNNNNNNNNNNNNNNNNNNNNNNNNNNNNNNNNNNNNNNNNNNNNNNNNNNNNNNNNNNNNNNNNNNNNNNNNNNNNNNNNNNNNNNNNNNNNNNNNNNNNNNNNNNNNNNNNNNNNNNNNNNNNNNNNNNNNNNNNNNNNNNNNNNNNNNNNNNNNNNNNNNNNNNNNNNNNNNNNNNNNNNNNNNNNNNNNNNNNNNNNNNNNNNNNNNNNNNNNNNNNNNNNNNNNNNNNNNNNNNNNNNNNNNNNNNNNNNNNNNNNNNNNNNNNNNNNNNNNNNNNNNNNNNNNNNNNNNNNNNNNNNNNNNNNNNNNNNNNNNNNNNNNNNNNNNNNNNNNNNNCCGGACGACAUGAACAUCUCUCAUACGUUCAAUGUAGCUGACAUUUAUGAGUAUCAUGCCGAUUGUGUUCUUUAUCCAGAUGAGAACUCGGGGUCGAGUUCUUUGGAGGUGGAGGAGACUGAUGCAGGAGACGGUUAAGCUUAGUCCAUUCUAGUUUACAUGAUAUUUUCCUAAUUAAGUGUUUUCCUUUUCUAAUUAGGAUUUUAGUAAUUAUCCUAUUUUAUGCAUUAGGCUUUCUCUAUAAAUAGAGACCCUAGAUCGUUUGUUUUGAACACAACUAUUAUUCAUUCUUAUUAAUCAAAGUCUUGAGUUUUCGAGCUUUACCUUUUCUGGUGGAUUCCAGAGCUUUUUCUUCAAGUUUGUCGCUUGCAAACUUGAGCUUUCAAUUCCAAGACCAACGCUUGUUGUCUUGGUGCAUUCCGACUGCGUCACUCUGUCUCUCAUCGUCUUGAUCAUUUGCGGAUCUGUAAUGCAGAUGGUGUCAUGAUCUUGAUUGGGAACAAGAAGCAAGCCUCUUUUCAAAACUGUCUUCCAGGUAUGCAUAAUGCAUGUGCCUGUUUUUUUUUGUUAGAAUGGUCUAUGAUCUGAAACCUCAGAGCACUGUUUGUUUCCCUUCUACAUACUAACAGAUUAUGAUGCAGUUGUUUAGUCCUUUGAUAUUUGUUUUGCUCUCUUACAAUUCUUUUUUGCUCUGUUCUCAAUCUAAAUCACUAACUAUGUUCAACAGACAACAGCUAAGCUACCCCUAUCAACCAAGCUUCUUCUCAUCAUGAUAUUGAUCAGAAGGAUUCAAAUGUUCAUAUAUAUGUAUCUCCAGAACUGCUGGUUAUGUUGCAGGAUAUGGUAUCCUAGAGUAUUAAAAAAGUGGUCUCGUAGAAAAAAAUUUGAUGUUGAUUGAUGCAGAAAAAACAUUGACAUCUCAGUACCCAUUUGUCAAUCUGAAUCACUGACUAUGUUGGUUCAUCAUUGUUCAACCUGAUAACAAAGGCACCAUAAGAUAAGAUAGAGCUACUCUCUCUACCACUGUCUCUCCAGAGAUGUCAAUCUCUCCCUUAGCCCCACAUUAAUUAGCAUACAAGACUAGGAUGAACAAACUAUUAUUUAUAUCACAAAUUCAUCUGUAACAAGGGCUCACACACACUUUCAUCUGAGUAUAUACAUUCCAAAGCUUUUCAAUUCUCCACACAGUUCAUGAAUCUGCUGAGAAAACUCGCGGAAGAAGGACAAGCUCAAUCCAAGGUUACAGCCAAUCGAGUAAGCAGCAGUGUCGGGUCAUCUCUAUCAAACUUAUCUUCAAUAGAAAUCGUUUCCAGCAACACAAAAGAUGACUUAGACUUAGCAAGAUAAAAGAGGCGAAUCAAUCUUUGAGUUCCAUUCACCUCUCUUUAUGGUGUUGAUCAGAGGGAUUCAAAAGUAUUACAUUAUAUCUAGUAGCGCUGGUUUUUUAUUGCAGGGGCCAAGAGUAUAGAAAGUGGUCUUGUAUGACAGACAAAGAUUUUUUUAUUUAGUUUAAUGCAAGACAAAACACAUGAUGCAUUGUACUCUGAUGAAAAGAGAAUUCGUGAAAAAAAGCACGUCCUCCUUAUUCAGUGGAUAAAAGAUUGGUUUAUUGAUAACAAUUAUUGGUCUUUGGUAGCAAAAAAAAUUGCUAGAUUAAAGCAUCUAGGAAGCAAUAUAGGAACUAAAUUAAAGCAUCUAAGGCUCGAUCUUGACAAUAUCUUCAAUAGAUUUCCUAUACUCCACAAUCAAAUCCCUGACCAAAAGAUACAACAACACUAAGGUAAGAGCAAAAUCAAUAUGAUCAAGAUAAAAAGUUGAAAACAAUUUAGCUAACCUUCUUUGUUGAAGCAACUGCUCACUCUCUUCUACAUUUCUCUUUUGGCCAUCAACAGUCUGAUUCAAACACAAAGAGAUCCACAAUAAGCACAAGAUUAAACAGAGCCAACACAGAGUUUGUUCUGAUCCAAAAUGUUAGUAAACCUACCAUAGUCUUAGAUCCUAGCGAUCCUGAAAUCGAAUUCAGCAACUGCUGACACUUUUCGAAAUGGCUAUUCAAUUCAGUCACCUGCAAAUUUACAAUUCAAUAUCCAACAAGAAUGAACCCUAGAAAAUCUCAUUAAAAAAAAAGACUGGAUUUUUAACAAACCAGGGCAUCAGAAUUCUGAUCUCGUGUUCCAUUUUCAAUGGCAUCGGUUAAUUUCUCCACCAUCUGCGUUCAUUAACACGAAUAUUAUUAUCAAACAGAUUCCAAUUCCAGGGGAAGAAACUGAUAAAAAUCCAAUUUUUUAAUUACUUACCGGAUAAAGAUGGAAGUGAGAAGCUAAAGACUGAUGCUGUUGCGGAGUCUGCACCAACUGUUGCUGUUGUUGCGGUGUAUGCAUCAUUGAUUGAGGCGUAUGAACCACCGUCUGCUGUGGCGGAGGCGAUUGCAACGACUGCUGCGGCUGAGGAAGAGGAGGAGAUUGUAACAAGCGUUGUUGCUGUUGUUGUUGUUGUUGGUAUUGCUGUUGUUGAAUGAAGUGUUGCUGUUGUUGGAAUUGCUGAAAUUGCUGCAUAUCUUGUUGUGGCUGGAACUGUUGCUGUUGUUGUUGGUGUUGUUGUUGAAGCAACUGAUGUUGUUGUUGCUGCUGUAUUUGUAAUUGUUGUUGCUGGAGGAAUAGCUGCUGGUCAUGAUUCGUCGGUGUACCGUAGUUACCCUGACCCUGCACGUUGGGGAUCAUCGACCAGUUACCACCUCCUCCUGAGAAUUGAUCCAUAAUUUCUCCUCCGAUCUCACUUUUUUCGCCUUCUUCUCGUCGUUCGUUGUUUAUAUAAAGUAAGAAGCAGAGUUAAAGGCGGAAUUCAGAAACGACGUCGUAAGCUAAGCGUAUGAAUCGCUCUUUAAUGCAGGUUAAAAGCCCACGGACUUAUCUUAGCCCAUUUAGGUUUUUAAUUCUCUCAAACGACGCAGUUUUAGGUUUCAUCAUCAAUCGAAACAGACCGAAGAAGAAGCUUCUUCAUUCCUAAUUCCUUGUUCUUACAAAAUUGAAUUUUUUUCUUUUUCUUCAGUGGUUCAAAAUUGAGAGCAGGUAUGUGUUCAUAUAGAAACUGAGCUUUAUUGUUGGGUUUGAUCCGAAAUUUUGAAUUUUGAGCUUAAUUAUACUGUACACAUAAGGGAAUUUUAUCAGUUCAACUUUUAAAAAUUCUUCCUUUAAAUUUUGAUUCUUUUGAUUCCAGCUUAUCUCUUCCGUUCCACUGAUGCGUUGAGAACAUUUUUCAUCUCACCAUUUUUACUUAUAGGUAUCCUCAAUUCUUAGUUUGAAAACUAAAAAAGAGCAAAACUUGUAGAUGUUGAUUCGAUUUGAGAUUGAAAAUCAAGAAAUGACGAAUAGAUAAUUCGGUAGAUGUUUUUAAAUUCUGUAUAGUGUUUUGUUACGAUGCUUAUAUCGUCGUCUCAAAAAUUGUUUUUUGAAUUGACAGAACUCGGACACUACUUCACUUAAAGUAAGUACAGUACUUGUCUUCUCUUUAAGCUACGAAGAUGAGGCUGUUGAAGGUUGCGACGUGUAACUUGAACCAAUGGGCCAUGGAUUUCGAGUGCAACAUGAAGAAUAUCAAGGCUUCCAUCACCGAGGCAAAGGCUGCCGGUGCUGUCAUCAGGCUUGGACCUGAGCUGGAAGUCACUGGUUAUGGCUGCGAGGAUCAUUUCUUGGAGCUAGACACCAUCACUCACGCGUAUGCUUCUAUUUUUCUUGCUGCUGAAUCUACUAGUUCUUGGAAUCAUGUUUAACAUAUGUUUCUAAUGUUCCUGUGAAUAUGUUUUUUCAGGUGGGAGUGUUUGAAGGAAUUGCUGCUUGGUGAUUGGACGGAUGGUAUAUUGUGCAGCAUUGGAAUGCCUGUGAUUAAAGGAGCAGAACGGUAUAACUGUCAGGUUCUCUGUAUGAACAGAAGAAUCAUCAUGAUUCGACCAAAGAUGUGGCUUGCAAAUGAUGGAAACUAUAGGGAGCUUAGGUGGUUCACGGCUUGGAAGCAGAGAGAACACCUCGAUGAAUUUCAGCUCCCUAUUGAAAUCUCUGAGGCUUUGGAUCAGAAAUCUGUUCCUUUUGGUUAUGGUUACAUCCAGUUUAUCGACACGUGAGUUUGUAUUUAAUGCUGCCAUUUCAACUUCGUCAAUGAUUUUUUUUAUUGCGAUUAUUAAUUGUAUCAAUUAUAUUUCCUUGUCAGGGCUGUUGCAGCUGAAGUCUGUGAGGAACUGUUUAGUCCACUUCCUCCUCAUGCUGAGCUUGCAUUGAAUGGGGUUGAGGUAUUUAUGAAUGCAAGUGGGAGUCAUCACCAACUGCGAAAGCUAGAUAUCCGUUUGAAUGCUUUCAUGGGGGCUACUCAUGCUCGUGGUGGGGUGUAUAUGUACAGUAAUCAACAGGGAUGUGAUGGUGGCCGCUUAUAUUACGGUAUGGUUGACAAACCUUAGAGGGAGUAACUGUUAUCUACUUUUAAGUGACAGACCAUCUUGAUUUGUUCAUUUUAAACCCAAGUGCAGAUGGAUGUGCAUGCAUUGUUGUAAACGGGGAUGUUGUUGCUCAAGGCUCACAAUUCUCGUUGAGGGACGUUGAGGUCAUCAUAUCCCAAGUGGAUCUUGAUGCGGUAUCCUACACCCUUUUGCUCUACUUUCUCCUGUUUUGUGAUAUAUAAAUGAAAAGUUCUUAGGACUAUCUUGCUUCUUCGUCUGAUAAAGGUUGCGAGUCUUCGAGGAUCUAUAAGUAGUUUCCAGGAACAAGCAAGCUGCAAGGUUAAAGUAUCUUCAGUAGCUGUGCCCUGUAGACUGACACAGUCCUUCAAUCUAAAAAUGACACUGAGCAGUCCGAAGAAGGUUCUCUAUCCUUAAGUAUUUGAUCCGAAGUUAACAUUAAUAUUUUUCAAUUCUAACAUACAUUAGUAAUGUAGAUCAUGUACCACUCUCCACAAGAAGAAAUAGCCUUUGGUCCCGCCUGCUGGAUGUGGGACUAUUUGAGAAGAAGUGGCGCUUCGGGGUUUUUGCUCCCUCUUUCUGGUGGAGCAGACAGCUCCUCCGUGGCAGCCAUUGUUGGCUGCAUGUGCCAACUUGUUGUUAAAGGUAAAUUGGCACUUUAUAUAUGUAUGUUGAACUGUGUUUUUCUAUGAAAUUCCUUUAUAUUAAGUACUCUCAGAGUAUAUCUUCUUUCUCGUUUAGAGAUUGCAAAGGGAGAUGAGCAAGUAAAAGCUGAUGCGAAUCGAAUUGGGAAUUAUUCUAAUGGACAGUUUCCUACUGAUAGCAAAGAGUUUGCCAAACGCAUAUUUUACACUGUCUUUAUGGGGUCUGAAAACAGGUAAAUUAGUUAACAGGAGCCAAGAAUAUGGGUUUUUGGUCAUAACUGCCUGUAAACAUGAAACUUUUGCCCAUACUGAAAUCUCAAAUUUGCAGUUCUGAGGAGACAAAAAGGCGUGCAAAGCAGCUGGCAGAUGAGAUCGGUGCUUGGCAUCUUGAUGUGUGCAUAGAUGGCGUUGUCUCUGCGGUUCUAACUUUAUUUCAAACGGUUACAGGCAAGCGACCUCGGUAUAAGGUAAAGUGGGAAUAUACAUUACCUAAACAAAUAGUUGGAACAAACGAAGUAUGAUCAUCUGGAAAAAGAGAAGAACAACAACAAAUUGUGAAAAUGGUUACUGAUUUUGUGUCUUAGGUUGAUGGAGGAUCAAACGCUGAGAACCUUGGGUUGCAGAACAUUCAAGCCCGGAUGAGGAUGGUGUUAGCAUUUAUGUUAGCAUCUCUCUUGCCUUGGGUUCAUAGCAAACCAGGAUUUUACCUUGUUCUAGGCAGCUCGAAUGUUGAUGAAGGACUUCGUGGUUACCUGACAAAGGUAAUGGAGUCAUCUCCUUUUGCUGCGACAUCUCAAAUCGCAUAGAUUGCUAACAAAUAUAUUCAUUGUCUUGGUUGAAACAGUAUGAUUGCAGCUCAGCAGACAUAAAUCCCAUAGGAAGUAUCAGUAAAACGGAUUUGAGGUUGUUCUUAAAAUGGGCUGCAACGGAUCUCGGAUAUCCAUCCCUGGCAGAGAUAGAAGCUGCUCCACCAACCGCUGAGCUUGAGCCCAUUCGUUCUGACUAUUCUCAGGUAAUAACAAAACUAUUUGUGAGUCGAUAUCUAAAGUUAACGAAGUUGUCAAUUCAGACAUUUUGAGUUUUGAAAACAGCUGGAUGAAGUCGACAUGGGAAUGACUUAUGAAGAGCUUUCAGUGUAUGGAAGGAUGAGGAAGAUAUUCCGGUGUGGACCAGUUUCUAUGUUCAAGGUUUGAUUUCCUGAAAGCUAGCCACAUAUGUUACUAAACCAUGAUACACUGAAACUGAAGCUGGUCUGUGAUCCUGCAGAAUCUAUGUUACAAGUGGGGAACAAAGCUAAGCCCAGCAGAAGUAGCUGAGAAAGUGAAGUAUUUCUUCAAAUACUAUUCGAUCAAUCGACACAAGAUGACUGUCCUCACACCGUCCUACCACGCUGAGGUAAUUACUUAUCUGAAACGUAUUUGAAACUAUCUUGAGAGAAAGAAAAGUAACUCAUUGGUUUUUUUUGUGUUGCAGAGUUACUCUCCAGAGGACAACAGAUUCGAUCUGAGGCAGUUUUUGUACAACAGCAGGUGGCCGUACCAGUUUAAGAAGAUUGACGAGAUAGUUGACGGCUUAAAUGGCGACUCAGUUGCUUUCCCGGAAGAAGCAGGAAACUCCGAGAAAGAAGUUGGAGUUGUAGCAGCAAACUCUGAAGACCCAAGCGCGGGUCUCUGAUGAAAUAUCAUCCCACUAAACUCUCCCUCUAUUUCAACCCAAAGUAGAAGUUAAAAAGACUGAUAUUUACACUUCAAAAUAAGCAUAGUAAUUUUUCCAAAUCACAUACAGCAAAUUGGAACAUGUUUGUUACUACUUAUACGAUUAAAUAUGUAUAAAAACCUUGCUUUCUAUUUUCCUCUUCAUAAAAUCAAUCUUGAGUAUUGUGCAGUGGUUUGAAGAGUAUUAACACCCACUAAAUAAGUUUGAGGUGGAACUAAAAUCCCAAGAAAAGUAAAAAUGAAAGAUUUCCUACUAAUUAAUAAUUUAAAUUGCGUAUAUUUAUAAGAUUUGAAAAUAAUAUUAAUUUUUUUGGUGGAAAGAAAAUAAUAUUACUAGUUUGCUAAGAAAUCAUAUUUUUUUAAAACAUAUUCAGUUUUAAAGAAAGAAAUCAAAAUUAUACGGAAUCGAAAUGACAAUAAUUCUUUAAUAUAUAUAUGGUUUCUUUUAAUAGGAAAUAUUUUAUCACAUUUACACGGAAAUCACGACACAAUAAUAAAACGAUAUAUACAGAAAUCACAACACAAUUAUAAACGAUUUGAAUAGUUUAAUUGACUCUCUCAAACUUACAUACACAUAAAUAUAUAUACAUAACCAUGAUCUAGCUCUUUUGCUGUCUUCACACCAUAAAAAUAUAUACAAAGAAAAUGGCAUUACUAUCGUCAAAGCUUGGAUUAAUAGUGAUUUUCGUCCUAUGUUCUUGUCUCCUAGUUACUUCUCAAUCAAAAGGUAACUAUAUAAUGUAUAUAUGUAUCUCUAAGAUCACAAUCUAAUAGCAAACAAUUUAUAUUGUCUAACCUUGGUUUAACCGUACGUGUGGUACGUACGGUAACUAAUGAUAGAUGUAAGAGGUGAGAAGGAUGUUCAUCCUCCAAGUUCGUGCGUGUUCAGAGGUCCAUGUAGAAGCGAUACAGAUUGUAAGAGUCAAUGCGGACCACCGGACUUCCCACCGUCGACACUUGGCUCAUGCUUACCCAGUCCUAGAGGUCAUGGCAACAUUUGCUGUUGUACCAAAGAUUAUUAGUUCUCCCAUACUUUAAACUAUAAACAAAACCAAAUGUUACUUUAUAUCAUCGACUUCAAAUGAAUAUUGAUUUACUAGCUGUUUUUGGAUGAAAACAAAAGAAUCUUAAACGUACGUUGAACCUCUUCCAAACUCACUCUGGAGCUCUUGUAAGCUAUUGCUUGAAAUCAAGCGAUGAUAUUUAAUUUGGUCUCACUCCAACUUUUCUAAUUGUCUCUAAUUAUUACAAUAUAUGAUUUUUAGUCACGUUCUUCAUUUCAUUUUAGUAAUAUAAAUAAAAAGUAGCAAGUAAAUCAUCAAGUCUUAAUGUAAUAAUGUUUUAGGUGGACAUCUUUAAUUAUAUGAAGAUAUAUAGAUUUAUCCUUUGUUAUCUUCUAGUAAAAUUGAUAGAUAGUUAAAUUUAGCCAUUUAGGUUUAUAUAAAAUACCUAUAUGUGAUUCUUUUUAACCUUUUUGUAAUCAUCCAAUCUAUAUUCUACUUUUUGUAUCUAUUCUUAAUAGUAUACACUUUAAUUUUCUUGAAGAUUUGAUGACUAUACAAUACAGUAUAUAUGGUUCCUUUUAAUAGGAAAUACGUUAUUAAUUUUAUAAAGAUAUUAAACCCCUACUUUUAAUUAAUAUGGACAGAAAUCACAACACAAUAAACAAUUUCAAUAUUUAUAUGAUACUGUCAAAGUUAUAUAUAUAUAUAUAUAUAUAUGAUCUUGCUCUUUACUUUCUUCACACCCAAAAAAAAUUGUGUUGCUUCGGUAGAAACGCACCGAAGUGCUUCUCAAUCAAAGCUUCGAUAUGGCAUUAUCAAAGCUUCGAUAUUUAAUAGUCAUCCUCGUCAUAUAUUGUCUCCUAGUUGUUUCUCAAUCAAAAGGUGAUUAAUAUAUGUUUUUCUAAUCACAACUAAAAUCUAUUAAGGAUCAUAUUCUCGUGUACCUUCUAAUUAAUUUUUGGUUUUGUUUAAAACAUUGUUUAUAAUGAAAUAGAUAUUGUAAGAGAGAUCAAUGCUAUACAUCCUCAAUAUUGCAACUAUAGAGGUCCUUGUAAAACCCAUAGAGAUUGUAAGAGACCAUGUGGACCUCCCGACUUCCCACCGGCGACUAUUGGUUUAUGCCAACCCACUCCUUGGGGUCAUGGCAAACUUUGUUGUUGUGCCAAAGAUUAAUUUAUUCAUUUAUUCUCUCAUUGUAACCUUCUUUACUUUUAAAUAACUAUUUCAUAUGGUAUUAAAGAAAUUGAUUUUGGAUUUAACAAAAAAAAAGCAUGUUUUUGGUUGUAUUCGAUCUAUAUAUAUGAACCAAUGGUUUCAACUUUCAAUCAUACAAAAUAAAUGUUUGUUAUUCACUACUUUAACACGUGCAUGCGGAGGAGCAAUAAUCAAAUUAAACGAAAAACGUUACUGACUGUAACAAGUAUGUUGGUUUGAUCUAUAUAUAUAUACUUUGAGUACCAUUUUCUUUAGUUCAUAUAUAUAUCAUAAAUUAUUAAUACGCAAAGAGCUCUCUUAUGUUUUGCAUGCAUGUGUAGCACAAAGUAAAAUCAUAAACACAAUUAAUUAUACUACUAAUAACAUAUAGGCGAAUCGUAAUUAAUUUUCCUUUUUUUUUGUUGGUAUAAACUUGCUUGCACCGUCCGUGACAGUUCUCCUUUCAACAUAUAUGUUUGAUUUAAACUAAUUUUAUAGAAAAGUCUCUAUACAUAUACUUUAGAUAAUAUAUUAAUCUUGGUGGCUAUGUUGUUGUUCCUCUGAAGCAGAACUGUUGAGACAGUUGCCAAGAUUAUUAGCGAAGCUUAGAAUCUCAUUAUGAGACAUUAACGACCUUAGCCCCAAGAAAUCCCUCGUCUCUCCUCCACCGUCGUCCACGACGUCGUUCUUGUCGUCUCCGGCUACAAAACCACCGUUGAAAGCUUCUUCUCCACCUCCGCCGUGAUGAUUCAUCAUGUAAUAGUCUUGGAACCCGAAUCCAGCUGGUCCAGAUGGUGAAGUCAUCAUCUCGGCCAUCGUAGUCGUGAUCAAGUUAUUAUAGCUUGACCUUGACGGCUUCUCUUCUUCCUCUGGAGCUGUACUUGACUUCUUGGAACCCAUUUGAGCAGCUUUCUGGAGCAAAGCCGUGGCUGACAUAGCCGCCGACGGGUGGUGAAAGUUGGAUCGUCCGGUGGGUGCAGAAGAAGCAAGAGGAGGGAACAAAUUACCAUUAUUGCUGCUGCCAUUAGGGUUAUUAGGGUUCGAUGAAGCAAGCCAAGGAGGGAUGUUUUGGAAGUGAUGAUGUGACUCUUCUUGCUUCAUAGGAGGAGCAUGGAGAUUAUUGCUGCUGAUCACGUUUUGGGAUGAAGUAGAGAAAGUGAUGUUCUGCUGUUGUGUUUGAUGAUGGCCAUGAUGAGAAGGAGAAGCUGAAGAUUGUAUGAGAAUAGGGUUUGGUAUGGCUCUUGCACUCUCUUCUGCUAACGCAUCGCAAAAUGCUCUAUGAGUUAUGAAACUAUCCCUCCUGCAAAUGCAAUAAUAAUUCCACAAAAUCAAAACAUUAUUAAGAUUUGAUGACUUUAUAAAGUAAAACACAAAGACUUUUUCGUGGUUUUUUGUAGGUCCAACUAAAGCAUGCAUUAUUUGUGGGGUGUGUCACGUGUGAAUAAUAAUAAGAUGAUAGAUCAAUGUGCAAUAAAUGUAAGCCGUAUAUAUAUAUGUAAAGGAUUCCGAUAUUAUAAGGAAGGACUCCAGCAAAAAAAUAAAAUAAAAAAUACAACAACUUAGAAACAAGUACCACAAUAAUAAAUAGUUGUUUAAAUGUAGAUUCUUUGAGCUACUUAAUAUUAAUUACCAUGUUUGUCCUAUUCAAAAUUCAUAAAUGAAACUAGCUAGUAUCAUAAACCCCAACAGAUGCAUGCUACCGUAGUAUUUUAUACUAUGUGUCACUCGUUUUCACAUUACUCUUGUAAAAUAAACUUAUAGACUUAAGUAAGUAUUAAUGCACAAGUUUCAUUAAAAACAUAAUCGAGUCAUAUUAAUUAUUAAAUGGUAAUGUGUGAAAGAGUAUUUUUUUACCUAGAAAAGAGAGUUCCACAGUCGCAUUUGUAUUCUUUAGUGCCACAAGUCUUAGCAUGAGCUUUCCAAUCUGAUUGAACAGCAUAUUUCUUCGAGCACUUUUCACAUUUCCAUUUUUUCUCGCCAUGUUUUCUGAAGAAAUGCUUCUUGAUUCCGGUCAAGUCUCCGAGAGCUCUCGAGGGAUGGUUAUGGACACAGCCUGGCUCUGGACAGAUGUAAACUUUCUUCCUAACCACGUCUUUGUUUGAUCUUUGCUUAAGCUUCCACGGUAGAUUGUGUCCUCUCUUGUGGAGUUGCAAGUUCUGGUCUCUUUGAAAACCUUUGUUGCAGACCUCACAUAUGAAUCUGUUUGUCGCCAUUAGUGUUUUUGGUGAUAAAGCCAUCACUUCUGCUUCAGGGUCUGACCAAACAAAGUACAUAAACUAAUUACUUCUUGACUCAUAUAACAAAGAAACAAAUUAACUAUGGUAAAGUUUGGAUUUUUAUUUGGUUUUUUACCCAUUGUGAUAGUAGAGAUGAGAAAGAUGACAAAGUUAAAAGGGUAAAAGAGAAUAUUCGGACAGUACCCAUAAUUCAGAAAAAACAAUAAUCGAUGAUAUAUAUCAAAUAAUUAUAAAAUGAAUACGUCCAAAAAUAAAAACCAAGAAAGUUUUGAUUUUUCUUCUUCUUCUUCAUCGUCAUCAUCAAAGUAUAUAUCAAAAACUAAAUUUACCUGGAUUUCCUGGUUGAUUUCUCUUCCUCUUGAUAGAUGAUUGAGGAACAAAACACUGUUCUUGUUGGUGAAUAAGGUUAGAGCCACUAGUUUCAGUUCUGUUUCCGGAAGACACACUUGCUUGAUCUCCUGAAGCAGAUGUUAGAUUCGACAUGUUCUCUUCCACUUGUUGUUGUUGUUGAUGAAAUAUCAUCUCUCUGUUCAUCAUCAUCCUUAAAAACAAACAAAAACAAAAACUUUAGCUAGUAAAAAAGAAAGAGAGAACUAAAACCUUUUUUUUUUCAGAUCUAUGUACAGACAAAGAGUAGUGGAGAAAAAACAUAAGCAGAAACAUCCAAGAAACUAAUGAAACCCAUGAUUCUAUCUUAAAAGAAACUGAUAAAAAAAAUAUUAAAAGUUUCUUGUUUUGGUUUCAACGCAAAGAGACAACCUUUGGUUUCUUUUACUUGUCGGAAGAACCAAAAAAAAAUAAUAAUAAAACUCAGAAUCCAAGAGAUGUGAAUAGAGAGAAACCUGAACACAAGAAAACCAGAUUUUUUUGUUGGGUUCUUGUUCAUUUCUCAAAACAUGAACAACAAGAAGCUCUAAAUUUUAACAAGAAAAAUCCAAAAUAAAAAAACAUAGAAAACUCCAACAAAGAACUACUAUAUACACAAGACGAAUAACAAACAGUGAGAAGAAAUAAAUUAAUGAACCAAGCAGAAGGAAGAAAAUACAAAAAGAAAUACCUAAAGCUAGAAGAAGAAGAAGAAGGAGAGAGACGAGAGAGGGGAGAUUGUGGAUGAGAGAAAAAACUCUUAUUAAUUAUCUCUCUCUCUCUCUUUCUCUUUGAAACUUAUAUAUUUCUCAGAACAAAUAAGUGAACCCUACCGCUAAUAAUGAAAAAAAAAAAAAGCAAAGAUGAAAAAUAAAACUCUUCUGGAGCUUUUGUCAUUUUCUGUCUUUUUAUUUUAUUAAUUUUACUUACUUACACACAGAAGCUCACAGAGACUCAGAGCAGUCUGUCCAUUUUUAUAAUUAUUAUUUGACUGUAAAUUAUAUUUUUUGCAUUAACAUUUGUCUAUAGAGGUGGGCCAAAAAAAAAAAACUUUUUUGUCACAGUUGUGUGAAAACUGAAAAGCUUGCAAGCAGAAAGAAAGAGAGAAGAGGAGGAGAGUUUAUAAUUUUGUACGUUUCUCGAGAUAGUGAGAAGACAACAUGUUUUGUUUGAAUUGAAUUCGUUUUAUUUUAUAAUUAUAUAUAGUGCUGCAUGCACUAUUAUUACAUUAUUGAUUAUGAUGUUAUUUUCCCUAGGGAGUUAUUGAUAUUUUCAUUAUUAUUAUUUUGACUAUUCAAGUCUUCAUCAUUGUACUCAUUUUUAUGGGAGAAAUCAUGUAAAAUUUAUUGGUUUCCACUUUUGUGACAACAUUGUCAAAUCUGUAUUUAAUCUACAGAAUAUUUUGAUGUGUGAGUUUUUAGGAAACUUAAAAAAAAAAAAAAAGACUAUCUAAGCAAAUUUGCUCAACAGAAAGGUUGAAUCUAAAUUGAAUAAUUCAUAUUCAUCCUCCUAAUGCAGUUUUAAUGGUGUCUUUUGUCAGUUAUAAAGUUGUGAAUACUUAGUUUUUUUUUUUUUUUUGUCGCCAUGAAUACUUAGAUUUACAGUACCAAAAAACUUGAUUGAUUCAUUGAUUAAAGAGGUAAAAGGUUAACUUUUGUUGUUUCUUUGGGGAUUCAUUUUUGAGGCUUUUCAUGUGAAAAGAAAAAAGAGAAAGAAAGAAUAAUGGAUUAAACCUUUAAUUACGUUGUAAACAAAAAAAAAAAAAAGAGUUAGUAAGUCUCAGUGACACAUGCCCUAACCUACUUUAUGAUCUACAUCGAGCUAUGGACACAAAUCAUUGACAUUUUUUUAUUUUUGAAUUUUUCUCUUAAAAGUUAAAACAAAUGAUAAGUAUUAAUCUAUGAUAUUAUAUUUCAUACGUAGACCGUGGUCGGUCCAAGGUCGUAGACUAGACACCACUAAUCUCUCCCUAUCUUAUCUACAUUUUUUAAUUAAAAGAAAAAAAAGAUAUACUGACCAUCCAAAUUAAAACUUUGAGUAAUAUUUGCAACCAUAUUAAUAGUCUAAUCCAUGUUUUGAAAAAAAUCAAAUCAAAUCAAAGUGGGUACACAUUUGGAAAUUUGCAUUUUUUGUAAUGGUCUGAAAUGUACCGCUACAUCCGAUUUUGUAUUUUAUGAGAAGCACAUAAGAACAAAUAUUUUUAAAAAGAAAAAAAAAAAAAGAAGGAAGAAAUUUCAUGAAUUAAUAUGUUGUCCACUCACAUCAUAGAGUCAUUCUAUUUGUAUUUGGUGACAACCAUGCAUCCAUAAUGUGAAACUUUUGAUUAUAAAUCCUCAUGCUAUUUUAUUUCAUUUUUAUACAUAAAAUUAGGUGGCUAAACGAAAACUAAUCAAAUUUUAUCCAUUUUGGACAAUUUUUUUAUAUAAUAUAAGUGUUUUCCUGGUAGCAAUCCUAACUAGUAUCGUUUUAGUUUUCAAGACCACCGCUAAAACUCCAAUUCGUAGCUAUCCCCCCAUUACAAAACUACACACAUUUGUCUGUUUACUCCAAUCCGGUUGUGUUCUAUAUAUUUCCAUAUAAUUCGUCACCAGAAUAUAACUACGUACAUAGUAGUAGGUGAUGAUUUGCAACAGUUAUAUAGGUCAAUGCGAACAAAAUCAGGUCCUGUCUCCACGUCGGCAACGCGUGGCUCCGGAUUUAUUUUACAAUCAUAAUAAUAUAUAUAUCUCAGACUUAUAUAAGAAGACUAAAAAUAGUUGACAACUAAAAAUAUGCAAAAAUGAAAAUAAUAAUUAGAUCCGCCGAAACUAAUUUUUAUAGAAUUAACUCCAUCAUGUUUUGGUUUGAAAAAAAAAUAUGGGUAGGGUGUAGUAGCUGUCUAGUUUUAUCCACGUUUGGUAACAUGCUACUAAACGAUGUUUAAAAGAAAAAACGUAAAUCAUUAAACAAAUAAAGAAUUAUAUGAAUAUUUUUUUCAUUAGCACCUAAUUAGUUAACCUUUAUCCAAAUGUCGUUAUCGGCCUAUAAUCAUAGACUUAUAUAAGCAGUCAUUAGUUUGAACGAUUAAGACAUACUAAUAUUUAUUUGUUUUAAAAUUUACAUCGUCUAAUAAUUGUAUAAUAAAGCAUUAUUUAUUAUACUUGUUGUGGAAAUGGCAUUAUGUAAAGUAUUACUGACUACUGCAAACAUAAUUAGGGGAGAUGAGAGAGGGGAAUCUCAUCUAAUCUACAGACAUAGCCCACAUAGGUGAAAGUGAGAGGUCGAUGAAACCGUAGGAAGACCCAAGAACACGUGGCGUGUUAUAAUUGGGAUUGUACGCUAAGCUAAAAAAACGAGUCAUGAUUGGUGUUUUUUUUAAGAGUCUUCAUCAGUUCUGUGUGGAAACACGCGGUCAGAGACCACCUUUCCGAACAACCCUUCCCAAUUGUUUCCGUUUCCGGUCUUCUUCUUCGAUACGUCGCCGUUCUCUUGUCCCUACCAACCACUCAAAGCCAUUUAAACCGGUGGUUCUCUCCCGACCUGUCCAAACCACCUAUUCACUCUUUAAUUAUUGCAAACAAGCUCGAUUGGUUUCGGUUUAGUUUUAUUUUUAUAAAAAGGUAAAUCCAAAUCAUAUGUCUUUUAAGGAUUUUGCAUACAUUAUUUCAUUUUUGUUUUGGUCCGGUUGAGUUUUUGGUUUAUGGGCUUCGAUCUUUCUCCUCAAACCCAUUAGAGGCCUAUUUAGACAGAGAGUAGGAAGAUAGAGUCCGUUGCUUUAAUCAGUGUUUUUUUGGAAAUAUUGUAUGGUUGAUUGACUCAAUUGGUCAUUGGAUUAAGAUUAAUUAAUCGACUGGUCUUUGAUUAAUGGAUUUAUAUCUGCACUUACGUGCCCACUUGUACAUUACUAAUCUCUUAACCAUGUGUGUAAUAAGAUAAACCAAUCUAAUUACUUUAAUUAACUCAUUUACAAUUAUUAAUUUAGCCGUUAACACUUCGUACUUAAACAUCAUCUCUAUACCGAACAAAGAUAGAGAGAGAGAGAGAGAGAAACAGAGCAACAAUGGCGAAAGUAAAUCGCUCCAACAUUGGUCUCUCACUGUUAUUAUCGUUGUUGCUCUGCAGCUUUAUCCCCGAUCUUGAAGCUUCUUCACAUAAAGAUCUCAACCAACCGUACCGGACCGGUUAUCACUUUCAACCUCCUAGCAAUUGGAUGAACGGUAUGUACCGUACCGAUCUUGAUCUAAAUACAAAUCCAUCGGUAUAUGUAAUUCGAUCCUCUAAAUUAACAUACUCUAUUAUCUGUUGACUCCGUUAUGCUCGAUGAAAUCCAAUUCGACCAACAAAAAACUCCAGAUCCUAAUGGUUAGUUCUCCUUUAUUCAUAUUUUAAAAAUAUAUAAUUAUUAAAUCAUUAUUAUACAAAAUACGUAUUUUUGUCUCUCUUUUUUUUUGGGUAGGGCCAAUGAUAUACAAAGGAAUAUAUCAUUUAUUUUACCAAUAUAACCCAUACGGUGCUGUUUGGGAUGUAAGAAUCGUCUGGGGACACUCCACGUCAGUUGACUUAGUCAACUGGACUCCACAGCCUCCAGCUUUCAGUCCAUCUCAGCCGUCAGAUAUCAACGGCUGUUGGUCAGGCUCGGUCACGAUUCUCCCCAACGGCAAACCUGUUAUCCUCUACACCGGCAUUGACCUUAACAAGAGUCAAGUUCAAAACGUCGCCGUUCCGGUUAACGUCUCUGAUCCGUAUCUCCGGGAAUGGUCUAAACCUCCGCUAAACCCUCUUAUGGCGCCUAACUCGGUCAACGGAAUCGACCCGGACCGGUUUCGAGAUCCAACCACCGCGUGGCUCGGACUUGACGGAGAAUGGCGAGUCAUCGUCGGAAGCUCGACGGACGAUCGUCGAGGGUUAGUGAUUCUUUACAAAAGCAGAGAUUUCUUGAAUUGGACGCAAUCGACGACACCUUUGCAUUACGAAGACUUAACCGGAAUGUGGGAAUGUCCUGAUUUUUUCCCGGUUUCGAUAACCGGAUCGGACGGUGUUGAAACGUCGUCAGUUGUUCAGAAUGAUGUUAAGUACGUGCUUAAAGUGAGUCUGAUUGAGACAUUACAUGACUAUUACACGAUUGGGAGUUACGACCGUGAGAAAGACGUGUAUGUGCCUGAUCUUGGGUUUGUGCAAGAUCGAUCAGCUCCGAGGUUAGACUACGGGAAAUAUUACGCGUCAAAAACGUUUUACGAUGAUGUUAAGAAACGAAGGAUCUUGUGGGGUUGGGUUAAUGAAUCUUCUCCGGCUAAGGAUGAUAUUGAGAAGGGUUGGGCUGGUCUUCAGGUGCGUUUUAGUUUUCCCAGCAUUUAACAGGUGUUUACAGAUUCUUGAAUCAACUUAACCUGUGUUUCUUUUUGUAAUCUUGAUUUGACAGUCAUUUCCGAGGAAGAUAUGGCUCGAUGAAUCGGGAAAAGAAUUAUUACAAUGGCCGAUUGAAGAGAUUGAUACAUUGCGUGGGACACAAGUCAGCUGGCAAAACAAAGUUCUUGAAGCAGGAUCUACUGUCCAAAUUCAUGGUGUCACUGCUGCACAGGUAGGACUCGAUCCUUAUUCUUUAACUUAGACCACUCUAAUGGGAACUGAAUCGACCUUUAAUAUUGUUUUUUUUUUGGUAUUGAGCAGGCAGAUGUUGAGGUAUCGUUCAAGGUAAAUGAAUUGGAGAAAGCGGAUGUGAUUGAUCCGAGUUGGACCGACCCACAAAAGAUAUGUAGGGAGGAAGAUUUGUCGGUUAAGUCCCGUGUAGGACCAUUUGGUUUGAUGGUUUUGACAUCCAGUGACAUGGAAGAGUACACGUCGGUUUACUUCAGAAUCUUCAAGUCAAAUGAUAGUAAUAAGCAUACUAAGUAUGUGGUGUUGAUGUGCAGUGACCAGAGCAGGUAUUUAAAAUCUCUUGCAUAGAUCAAAAGACACAUUUAGAUUCUUUUGAUAGUUUCAUAAAAUGUAAACGAAAAUAACUCGUAUUUGGUACUCACAGAUCUUCGUUGAAUGAGGAAAAUGAUAAAUCCACGUUUGGUGCUUUUGUGGGGAUAGACCCUUCUCAGCAGACACUUUCUCUUAGAACUUUGGUAAGUCUUAUAGUAUAUGAAAGAUAUUUCCAUAAACAAGUGUCUUGUAUCAAGGUGAGUAUACUUCAGUAGAUGCAUAUACUAGGGGAUUGAUGAAUGUUUUCUUUUUUUUUUGUUUGUAGAUUGAUCACUCGAUAGUGGAGAGUUACGGUGGAGGAGGCAGAACAUGUAUAACCUCAAGAGUGUAUCCAAAGUUGGCAAUUGGAGAAAAUGCAAAUCUUUUUGCCUUCAACAAAGGAAGCGAAAGUGUUGAUGUCUUGAGCCUAAGUGCUUGGAGCUUGAAGUCUGCUCAAAUCAAUGACGAGUCGAUUUCACCAUUUAUUGAGCGUGAAGAUUCACACUCACCUAAACAGUCAUGAGUGCAUAUAUAUAGUACUACAUUACAUUGUACGGGGACACCAUAAUAAAAUAAGAGACCACACACAUAUUUGUGAUAUCAAUAUUCUUGAACAUUUUACUAUUCAAUUCAAACUUUGAAGAUUUUUUUUUCUUUCCGUUGUGUAUCUUAUUCCUACGCAAAAGAUUAUACAGUUUUUUUUUUUUUUUUCAUUUGAGCUUAAGCUAUUUCAUUGUUAAAGUAAAAAUAUUUUUCCUAAAAUGAAUGAAACAAACUCAAAAAGAGCAUGUAGUAAAAAAAUAGAAUAUUAAUUUUUUUCAACAUUAUUUAUUUAUUUAUUUCUGAAAUAAAAAGAGUUGGUAAUAUAUUGUGAAUUUCAUUUCACAUUUUUUUUUUUUUUUUGUCAUCAAAUAAAAAGUUAACUCAAAUGAGCCAACUUGACGGACAAUUGUUUACAAACUUAAUCAAAUGCGGACUGUAACGAGCUUUGCGUGCCAAGUAAUCCGCUUUUACAUUCAGAUUUCUAGGAAUAAAAGAUAAAGAAAAAGAUGAGAAUUCUUCCUUAUCAUUCUUGAUAUCCUCCAGGUAGACAGAGAAAGCCGGCCAUUCGUGAGGAGAAGACACCAUCUUCACCAAGUCCGAACAGUCGGUAAGAAAAGCAACUUCUCUGAAGUCAUGGCCAAUCAUGCAUCGCAUCGCCCACACCAGAGCUUCUACUUCCGAAUGAAGAGGGGAAAGACUUCUUCGUAGGUUAGAAGCUCCCAUCGUCGUGGAAGAAUCAUGUGCAUGCUGACAAAACCAUCCUAAACCUGCAUACAUAUCUGUGGCCUUCCAAGACCCGUCAAUGAAACAAUGAUAACCCGGAAACCUGGAAGGUAUAGAACUCGGUAACCCAGGCAUAACAUUAUCACCUACGGGGCCCUCCCUCGUAGUAUUGGAGUCAUCUAAUUGUGCAUCAUACCAAGUACGAGCUUCAUCUGUAGCUAGCCGGACGACAUCCGAAGGGUUUUUAUCUAGAUUAUCAAAAACCAUAUCAUUUCUGGACUUCCAGAUGUACCACAAAAUCCAAGGACAAAACCUAUACUCCUCCUUUACUAGUAUACGCAAAAUAUAGUCCAUAUUAGCAAAAACAGAAGCCGUAGGGAACCCAAUAGGCCCUACUGGGACGUUCGCUAAUGCCCAAGUUUGCCGAGAUGGUGGACAAUCAAAAAUUACAUGAUUGACCGUCUCCAUUGGGUCACCACAUCGUCCACAUCGCGUAUCACAAUUAAUUCCCCGUUGACUCAAGUUGGCCAAAACAGAGAUGCAACCUGUAAGUAAUUGCCACAUAAAAUGAUGAAGUUUAGGUGGACACCUAACUUUCCAUAUACCUGCUAAUAACGGAAUGAUAUCUGGGCCGCACACUUGCGGAGUUGACAUUUGUAGUGUUUGCAUUCUGGCAGCAUAAUAACCGGAUCUAACCGUAUAUCUCCCAUUCUUUGUGAAAUGCCACCCGUAAGAAUCUGUGAUCGGACAAUUUCCAAUUGGGAGAGCAUUUAUCAACGAACUAUCUUCCUGAGUGAAGUGCUCCUGUAACACAUCUAAAUUCCAAGAAUUUGUUUGACGAUCAAUUAAAUGACGUAUGUGAAGUGAGGGAUCCAUAAUUGAUCCAUUACUCUUAGCUGGUCUCGGGAAUUGAGCUGGAAUCCAAGGGUCCGUCCAAACGGAUAUAGAAUCCCCUGUCCCAACUCUUUUAAUGAGCUCUUUCAUAACCAGAGAUCUAACUGAUACCAUGCUCCUCCAUCCAUACGAUGGGGAAUACGAUUUGACUUGUUCCAUUGGAGUUGCAUUCCUAUAGUACCGGCCCUGAAACACCUUUGCAAAUAGAGAAUUUGGGUAAUCAAUCAACCUCCAAAGCUGCUUUGCUAACAUCGCUGUAUUGAAAUCAUUUACAUCGCGGAAGCCUAACCCACCACUACACUUGCUAGAGCACAAUUUAUCCCAUGCUCACCAGUGCAUUCCCCCAGAGUAACCAUUUGAACUCCACCAAAACUUUGCCACUGCACUUGUCACAUUUAUCUAAAACAAAACAAAUACAGUAAACAGAAAAAUAGAUGAAGCGACAUCGUUUUGACAUAGAAAAAACGCUUUCUUCUUGCGUUAGCUUAAUCUGCCCACUGCUCUCGGCUACUUUGUUCUAUCUGAGACUGAGAGAAGCGUCGAGGUUGAGGAAGAAGAAAUCAACGAACAUGGCGAUCAGGAUUCGGAUCUACGGCAUUCUCUUAAUCCUUGUAUUCUUGUUCUCUACUAUUCGCGCUUUUUACCUUCCCGGUGUCGCUCCUCGCGAUUUUCAAAAGGUACUGUUUUGGUAAUUCCGAUCUCAGGUUUGAUGGCGCUAUCGAUCUAGGGUUUCUCAUGUUAAUUUCGAUUGGUUUGGCGUAAUCCAAUCUAGAUCCGUGGGAAAUCAUUUCGUCUAUUAUUGUCGUCCAAGGAUUCUUUGAGCGUUAUUGAGUGUAUAGGAGUAUUAUUGCCAAUUUGACAAUGUAGGGAUCUGUGUUAUUGAAUUUAUAGGAUUGAAUGUUAGAAUCAGUUUAUGGUGAUUCAUGUUGAAGCUUUUUGAGCUCAUGAUUUUCAAACCUUGCUUGUGCUGUGGUUACAGGGUGAUCCUCUUUAUGUCAAAGUGAACAAAUUGUCGUCUACAAAGACUCAACUUCCUUAUGAUUUCUACUACCUUAAUUACUGUAAGCCUCCCAAGAUCUUGAAUACCGGCGAAAAUUUGGGGGAGGUUCUCAGAGGAGAUCGCAUUGAGAAUUCGGUUUAUACUGUAAGCAAAAAAAACUUAUAUGAUUUUUCUUCUUCCUUCUCAUCCUUGGAUUUGGUGUUGAGACUUUGGAUUCUAUUUCAGUUUGAAAUGUUGGAGGAUCAGCCCUGUAGAGUAGGUUGCCGUAUUAAAGUCGAUGCUGAGUCUGCUAAAAAUUUCAGGGAAAAGAUUGAUGAUGAAUACCGAGCUAAUAUGUAAGUUUAGGUAUAUGCUGUCCGUGAUUCGUGUCAAGUAAUUUUUAUUGAUUCUUUCAAUUUUUAUUAUGAAAUGACUCUGCAGGAUUCUUGAUAAUCUUCCGGUAGCUGUUCUUCGACAAAGAAAAGAUGGAAUUCAGUCAACGACUUAUGAACAUGGUUACCGUGUUGGCUUCAAAGGGAGUUAUGAAGGGGUAAUACGUCUCUUAAACCUAUGACUACAGUCUUACCUUUUAAGCAUUUUCUUGUACCAAUCAGGAGUAGUUUCCUUUGCUUUUGUAGAGUAAAGAGAAAAAAUAUUUUAUCCAUAACCACUUGAGUUUCCGAGUCAUGUACCACAGAGACCAAGAGUCUGACUCUUCUCGCAUCGUUGGUUUUGAGGUUACGCCUAACAGGUAUUGUCUACUUGGUUAUCAUCAACAUUUAUUGAUGAGUAUGAUUUGGUCUCAAUUCUUACUAGCUACCUCUUUUUUCUUCUCUCUUUUUGGUUAGUGUAUUGCAUGAGUACAAAGAGUGGGAUGAAAAAAAUCCUCAGUUAACAACAUGCAACAAAGACACAAAGAAUCUGAUCCAAAGCAACACUGUUCCUCAAGAAGUUGAGGAAGGAAAAGAAAUUGUGUUUACGUAUGAUGUCACCUUUAAGGUAACUAACUUACCUUUGAGAGCUCUUUAUUUGCGCUCUGUAAACAUAUUAUGACGAUUGAAAUAUGCAGGAGAGUGAAAUCAAAUGGGCUUCGCGAUGGGACACAUACUUGCUGAUGAACGAUGAUCAAAUCCACUGGUUUUCAAUCAUAAACUCGCUUAUGAUUGUCCUUUUCCUCUCUGGAAUGGUAGCGAUGAUCAUGAUGAGAACUUUAUAUAAGGAUAUUUCAAACUACAAUCAGCUCGAGACCCAAGACGAGGCUCAGGAAGAAACUGGAUGGAAACUUGUACACGGAGAUGUCUUUAGGACUCCCGUGAACUCUGGAUUACUUUGUGUAUACGUUGGCACAGGUGUUCAGAUUUUUGGCAUGACCCUUGUGACAAUGAUGUUUGCAUUGCUGGGUUUCUUAUCUCCAUCCAACAGAGGAGGGCUUAUGACUGCCAUGGUUCUCUUAUGGGUAUUCAUGGGUAUCUUCGCCGGUUACUCCUCUUCUCGGCUUCACAAAAUGUUUAAAGGGAACGAGUGGAAACGAAUCACCUUGAAGACUGCAUUCAUGUUUCCUGGUAUACUCUUUGCAAUCUUCUUUGUUCUCAACACACUUAUAUGGGGAGAGCGAUCAUCUGGAGCCAUCCCCUUUGGUACAAUGUUUGCUCUGGUGUGUCUCUGGUUUGGAAUCUCUGUCCCACUAGUCUUCAUUGGUAGCUAUCUUGGCCACAAAAAACCAGCAAUUGAAGACCCAGUCAAAACAAACAAGAUCCCGAGACAAGUACCAGAGCAACCUUGGUACAUGAAACCUGGUUUUUCAAUACUAAUUGGAGGAAUCCUUCCAUUCGGAGCAGUCUUCAUCGAGCUUUUCUUCAUCCUAACAUCGAUCUGGCUCAACCAAUUCUACUACAUCUUCGGAUUCCUUUUCAUAGUGUUCUUGAUCUUGAUCGUGACCUGCGCAGAGAUCACAAUUGUCCUCUGCUACUUUCAGCUCUGCAGUGAAGACUAUAAUUGGUGGUGGAGAGCUUACCUCACAUCAGGCUCAUCCUCACUCUACCUCUUUCUCUACUCCAUUUUCUACUUCUUCACAAAGCUUGAGAUCUCAAAACUCGUCUCAGGAGUGCUCUACUUCGGGUACAUGAUCAUCAUCUCGUACUCGUUUUUUGUGCUAACCGGCUCAAUCGGUUUCUACGCAUGUUUAUGGUUUGUCAGAAAAAUCUACUCCUCAGUGAAGAUUGACUGAUUAGAGUAAGCGACAUUACUUUUGAUGCCUCUUGAGGUUUGUUGGAUGGUUUAGUCGUAGUUGAAACAAAAAAAAAGUUUACCAAAUCUUUGUAUUGUUUUGAUGAAUGGAUCCUAUAUUCAAAACAAUUUCAAUCAUACAGCCUACAGAGUUAUGCAUAUAACAACAAUAUAGUAAAGUUUCUCUUAUUUAAAAGAUAGUUUAUGCUUGGCCUCUUUAAUCAUUCUCUCUGUUGAAGAACCACUUGAAAAUCCUAGCUUCUGCAUCAUUUCUUCCAAUCUUUUCCCGUUAGAUAGAUACAGAUAUCCAAUCUGAUAAAUUGAACAAACAACGGAUUUAACACAAGGUAAAAAGCAACAAAUUUGUAUUAUUUACUUGUGAGUUUCAAGCUUACUAGUGUUUCCAAUGAUGAGGCCUUGUUGUAAACAGCCACACCAGCACGCCUAGUUGACCGUGUUUUAACCGAGCCUACAUUUUUUCCCCACCGGAGGACAUCUCUGGAGCAAAAAUUUCCAUCACAUCGAUCAAUAUUUGCUAACUCAAACAAAAAAGCUUGGAACUUGUGUAUUAUGUGAUUUCAAUAAUUAUAAUGUUUUAAUAUCUUCAUGCAUCUUUCACACAAAUGGAGAGAUGGUCUAAGACAAAAAUCUUGAUGCUAAAAUAUGUAUGAAUGUGCCUGCUAAAUAACAGGUUUUUGCAACUGACCUUUCAUCUUUCGUUAAGAAAUCAUCAUCAACAAGCUUCUGCAACAAAGCAUACUGAAAAAGAAAGACACUGAAUACUUUAGAUUCAACAAGAACAAUGAUAACAAUACCAAUGCUAAUACAUUUUUUCAGGUUAAAAGUAGAUGGAAGAGAGACACAACAACUUCACACAUAGAAUGAUAUCACAAACAUAAUAAUGUGAACAAAGAUACAUGGAAGUGAAAGCAUGUAUUGUUAAUUUCUACAAUGAACAUUAUAGCAAUUCACAAAAGGGAAGAAAGAUAAACUAACGUACCUGUGCUUCACAUCGAACCACUGCUCUAACACGGUCGUUAUAUUCUUCGAUACUAAGUGGAGGGAAAAGAAAAUGCCGACGAGCAUAUAUCUUCAAAACCAAUAGAAAAUGGUUAAAGAUAGAAAAUUGAAUGGAGUAUCAACAGAGUGUCUGUCUUAAUGUCACAAACACUGUCAUCUUAACAUUGUCUAAAGUCACAAACACAAGCUCAUGGUGACUAUCUUAGAGCUAUAAACUUGUCUAAAAUCAGGAAGCUCAAACUCAUAGUGAUUCUUUACCGCUAGAAAUACUAAAAUGAUCAUAAUUUGACAUACUUACAUCCACUAACAUACGAAAAUUGAAACAACUAAGUACAAAAGCCUUGUAUAAAAUCACUGAAGAAACAAACGAAAAUUGGAAUUGAAGAAGACUAACCUCGUAGAUUGAAUCGCCUAUAUAAGCUAAAGAAGCAGCAUUGAAAACAGAUCUAGGUUUCUCCACUUUUGGUGGACUUGGAAACCAUUUCUCAUAUCCAAUACAAGGAUCAUCAAAUCCAUCACCAAUGUCUAAACACAAAACCAGAAAUUUAGUAAGAAUCUUGAACUGAACAAAACAAAAAGGAAUAGUUCUGAACAGUUCUUCAUUGAAUUCCGAAAAUUAUAGAAAGUAUCCCAAUACGCUACCUUUGCUUGCGGGACGUUUGAGCAAAUCAGAAGCGGAGACGCUUGCUUCAGUUGUUAAGUUUGUCGCCGGAGAAGAUGACGACGGAGACGGUGGUGGCACAAAAGAGCUCAAAUUAGGGGUUUUCUUAACGUUUCGCGGCGCAUUGGGAUUGUAUCGGAGCUUCGGCUGUGUAUCUAAAGCAGCUCUCACGAUAGUAGAGCUCGCUGAUAAAAUCGCCAUUGUUUUUUAAAAAAUUCAGCUUUUUUUUCUCUCCCUGUUUUGACGGUAAUAAAGAUGAGGCGGUGACUUUGAUUAAUCCACGUGGCGUGUUUUUAUUUGUUUGUUUGACAAAGAUAAAUACAGACUAGCGUAGUUUUAGCAAUACGAGCUUGUCUCUCUCUCUCUCUUCUGGCACUCUUUCUCUGUCUCUCUCGUCCCAAUUUGUAAAACCCUAACGACUAGAUUUCAGUUUCCCGUAACUUAUUUUCUCAACUUUCCGAUCAGAUUUCUUAGUCGGAGAUACUGAUUCGGCCACCAUCAUGAGUCGCUACGAUAGCCGGACCGGCGAUUCCACCUCUUAUCGUGACCGUCGAAGGUAAGUGUGUGUUUGCUUUCGUAUUAAAUUCGACUUAAUUGCUAGUGUUGCUCUUUGUUUUUGAAUCUGUGAUUGAACGAGUAUAAAGAAAAUUCUCUUAAUUAUGAUCGAAUUUCUGGGCUUUAAACGAAGAUUUCUGUAAUAUAAUGAUGCGUUUUCAAUUCUGUAUGGUGUGUUGGAGAAGAAGAGUUUGCUUCAUUUUCAAAUUUGCUUGUUCUUAGUGACUCAGGGUUUGGUGGUACUUCAGCAUAUGGGAGUUCAGGUAGUCAUACAUCUUGCAAAAAGGAUACUGAUGGCUCUCCAAGGAAGCUAGAUUUAGAUGGUUUGACUCCUUUCGAGAAGAAUUUCUAUGUCGAAUCACCCGCUGUGGCUGCUAUGACAGACUCAGAAGUGGACGAAUAUCGUAAGCUGAGGGAAAUUACUGUUGAAGGCCGAGAUAUUCCCAAACCUGUCAAGAGUUUUCGUGAUGUUGGCUUCCCUGGUAAACUUCUCUAGCUUGACUUUUGUUUCAUUUUCUUUCGGCUCUUGAAUUUGGCAAUCAUGUUAGGCAUUUAUAGACUGUAAUCAGUUUCACUUACAUGUCUUUAUAGACUGUAAUCAGUUUAACUUCUCUAGCUUGACUGUUUUUUCUGUGUGUGUGUAUACAUCUACUGAUAAGAAUUUCCUGAUCGCCCCAGAUUACGUUUUGGAAGAGAUUAAGAAGGCUGGUUUUACUGAACCUACGCCUAUACAAUCUCAGGGGUGGCCAAUGGCAAUGAAGGGACGUGAUCUUAUUGGCAUUGCUGAAACUGGCUCUGGAAAGACUAUUUCCUACUUACUACCUGCAAUAGUCCAUGUGAAUGCCCAACCAAUUUUAGGUAAUGCUUGUUCCUGCUCGUUAAGUUAUUUUUCUUCCGGUUCUUGUUUGAUAAGUUGUCAAGGCUUUACUGAUUCAGAAUAAUUAUUCUCAGCUCCUGGGGACGGCCCAAUCGUCUUGGUUCUCGCUCCGACACGUGAACUGGCUGUGCAGAUACAGCAAGAGGCAUCUAAAUUUGGCUCAUCAUCAAAAAUUAAGAGUACAUGUAUUUAUGGUGGGGUUCCAAAAGGACCUCAAGUGCGAGAUCUUCAGAAAGGUGAAGUACUUUGACUCCUGCUUUUCGUGACAUUUCUCAAACUAUCACUCUUCUUACUUUCUUUUUUGUGGAUUAUUCUGAUAGUGAUUAUUGGCCUAUGAUUUAGGUGUGGAAAUUGUUAUAGCUACUCCUGGGAGGUUAAUAGACAUGAUGGAGUCGAACAAUACAAACCUGCGAAGGGUUACUUAUCUUGUGUUGGAUGAGGCUGAUCGAAUGCUGGAUAUGGGGUUUGACCCUCAGAUUCGGAAAAUUGUUUCACAUGUUCGUUUUCUUACUUCUGUCAUGGUCACAUAUUGACAUAUAUGUAUAUCCUAGUUGCCCUCUCUUUAUAUCUUUUUUAACAUGUGCAGAUUCGGCCAGACCGUCAAACUUUGUACUGGAGUGCUACUUGGCCUAAAGAGGUCGAACAACUAUCCAAGAAGUUUCUUUAUAACCCGUACAAAGUAAAAGACUUCUCUCUUAGGAUUCUCAUAAUGGUUUAGCAGUUAACAAAAAGUCAAAAACUAAGCAUGCUUCUUUUGUCUUAAGUGCAGGUGAUAAUAGGAUCUUCUGAUUUAAAAGCUAACCGUGCAAUUCGUCAAAUUGUUGAUGUCAUUUCCGAAAGCCAAAAGUAUAACAAGUAUGUCUCCUUUACCUUUGCUUAUCCUGCCUCUAUCUCAUUUCAGUUGUCAUGGAAAUUGAGGUGAAUCAAAACUAAUCUUUGCGAUAUUUCAGAUUGGUGAAGUUGCUUGAAGACAUAAUGGAUGGAAGCAGAAUUCUUGUCUUCCUUGAUACAAAAAAAGGCUGUGACCAAAUCACUCGUCAGCUUCGCAUGGAUGGCUGGCCUGCUUUGUCAAUACAUGGUGAUAAAAGCCAAGCUGAGAGAGAUUGGGUUCUCGCGGAGUUUAGAUCAGGCAAAAGCCCUAUAAUGACUGCUACAGAUGUCGCAGCUCGUGGAUUAGGUACAAAAUCGUUUUCUUCUUUGAGCGCAACAUCAACUCUCUUCACCAUGGUGACAAACUUAACAAUGUCUUUUGUUUUGAACAGACGUUAAAGAUGUAAAGUAUGUGAUAAACUAUGAUUUCCCUGGAUCACUAGAGGAUUAUGUUCACAGAAUUGGAAGAACGGGUAGAGCCGGGGCAAAAGGAACAGCUUACACUUUCUUCACAGUUGCAAAUGCGAGAUUUGCCAAAGAACUUGUCAACAUACUAGAAGAAGCUGGACAGAAGGUGAGCCAUGAAUUGGCUUCAAUGGGACGUAGCACCGGUCCUCCUCCACCAGGUCAGUUAACAACAAGCAAAUAUCUUGUCUUCAAUAUAUUUGGGGUUGUUCUGAAUUCUGAUACACUAGAAAACACAAAUAUGGCUUCAUCACAAGAUGUGUCAAAAUAUUGUAGGAACCGGCUCAAGUUAUGAAAUUUUAAACAGGGUGUUGAACUUGAUAAUUAAUAACGAGGGUUCAUGUUGUGGAAACAGGACUUGGUGGAUUCAGAGACCGUGGGAGCAGAAGAGGCUGGAGCUGAUCACUGAUUAUGUAGUAUGUUGUUAUAUGGCUUUAGGGCUCAGUGGUUUUUUUUCCUUUUUACUGUUUUGUUCUUAAUAUUUGGCAUUUGCAGCAAAACAUUAAAACAUGUAAGAUAAACAUUUGUUCUGAUCAUCCGAAUUAGCGUAAGAUAAACCAAAUAUUUUCAGAAAACCAAAAUAACAAAUCUUCGUAGUUAAAUAAAAAUUAAACCGGAAAUAAAAAUUACAAUCCACGAGUAUUUGUAAUUAAUUUGUAAAAACAUUUCGAUCUAAAUGUGUUGAAUUAAAAAAAAUUAUAACGAAGUAAAUCCCUAAAUAAAACUUGAAGCACAAGAGAGGAAGAAGAAGAAGAAACGGGACAGUUUACAUUUGCGAACACAAGUAAGAAACUCUAUCUGGGUUGAUCGAAUCGAGUCGCCAUGAGUGAAGAAACUCCUAAGCUUUUCACCAAUAAACCCAAGAAGAAGGGUAACAACUUUAUAUUUUAAUUACGCUAUUUUUUUUUUUGGGGUUUUCCGAAGAAGCUGUCGCUUUUUAUCCCCAGCUCACUCAACGAAUCAUUCACAAUUUGUUUUUUCUGGAUUUAUAUUGUUUGACUUUAUUUGUGAUGCUCUCUCUCAUUAUUUGCGGAUUGUGAUCUGUGUCCAGCCAUUAUUGCUCAGCUGAAGCACGUUGAAGCCAAUUUCAAUAAUCCUUCUACUGUUCCUCCAUCAUCGUCAGCACCUUCUCCGGCUGCUGCUGCCGCUGCUUCCUAUUCCAUGGGUGGUGCUCCUCCUCCUCCUCCCCCUCCUCCCAAGCAAUCGUUCGCUCGGAGGUACAAAUUUGUAUGGCCUGUUCUCCUUACCGUCAAUCUCGCCAUCGGAGGUAAUCAUCACGUUUUCUCUGAUUCCAAAUUAGGGUAAUGAUUUUGCUGGUUUCGAUCAUUUCGCAUUGGUUUGCGUUUCUCUUCUUAUGGCUGAUGCCUAAUGGUAGUAGUAAGAGUUUCUUCUUGUGAAGUUAAAAGAGUUUAAUUAGAAUCAUUUAGUUUUUUUUUUUAAUCAGCUACAAAGCUUGAAGCACUGAGAUGAUCUGCUCCAGAUUAUGUGUUGUUAUGUGCUAUAUGAGUUUUUGAUUGAUGCCUUUUUGUGAUCUUUAGAUUUUGUUUACUGUCUCUACUGAUAAACACACUUUGACUGCAUGAUUUUGCUCAUCAUUUUACUUUUAGAUGCAAACCGUAACGUUAUCUAUAUAAAACCUGUAUCGUAAUGUUGCAGACUAUUUAUUCUUAAGGUUCUCUGCUUGUACUUUGUCCCCUGCUGAAGCAUGACUUAUCCUUGUUUAUGGAUAACCUUUUUCCCCACAUCUGAUUUGUUUUUUUUUAAUCCUUUUGAUAUUAGGGUGUAUGAUGUUAAGAGUUGUAUAAGAUAGUUACAUGGAUACCUAACCUGGCGCCGUUGAGAUUCUUCCUUAGAUAGUUUCUUUGUUCCUGAUCUUGGAAAUACAAGAUUCAUCAACUCUUUUAUAUCUAUAUACCCUAGAACUGUGUUGAAGUUACAAUCUUUAUGGAAAUGCCUUUACAUAGGCUUUCAUGUCAAAUACUGAUGGUUCUUUACCUUAUUCGUUUUGCAGGUUAUCUUUUCAUUAGAACUAAGAAAAAGGAUACAGAUCCUGUAAACGAAGAGACAGCUGCUAAAUUGGGUGCAGUUGCAGCCCCUGUUACUGUGGAAAAGACUGUGUCUUCCGCGGUGGUUGCAGAGCCCGUGGUGGUCAAGGCACGUGAGCCAAUUCCGGAGAAACAACAACGUGAGCUCUUCAAAUGGAUGUUGGAGGAGAAAAGGAAAGUAAAUCCUAAAAACGCAGAAGAGAAGAAACGGAUUGACGAAGAGAAAGCGAUUCUGAAACAGUUCAUAGGCUCCAAAACCAUUCCUACUCUCUGAUGAUUAAAGUGCAGCUUCUGUUGAUUUUAGUUUGGUUUGGUUUCUUCAAUUCUUACUUUGUGGAUAUCAGAUGUUUUGCUUUUGGAAACCUUUUUUUCUCGUUUCAAUGUUGAAAUCAGCCACUUUGGUGUCUUCAGUUUCAUUCAACGUUGAUGACCCAUGGUUCGGUCUUGUGGUUUUGUGAAACGGUUACUGCUAAAGAAAAAGGUUCGACUUUUUAUGGGCUAAACUUUUUACGGACACCCUUCAAAACUGAAAAAACCCAAAAUUAAGAUUCAACAAACUGUUGAAGAUUUGAUAUCCGAACGCCCAUAUAUACAUUUAUCAAUCUAUUUUAUGAAAGCCCAUUUAAAACCCAUUUGAUAUAAUGACGUCGUUCUUACGCUGACAAGUUUGAAGUUAACCUUCUUCGAGGCUAAGCUCAAGAGAAAACAGAAAGGUAGAAGACGAUAUCCCCUCCGCGCUCUGUAACUCAGGAAAAGGUUCUGACUCUUUUUUUUUAUAUAUAUUUUGUUGGGGGAAAUUCACAUUACUUAGAUUGAAUUGCUCAAUUGUGUACAUAAAAUAAACUCGAAAUCCCCAUAUAUAUUUAUAUUAUGCUCAAUUGUCUUGUUGUUGAAGCUGCGAUCAAUCUAGGUAUUAGGUUAGCUUCAUUUUUCUUUACUUGAUUUAAUCCAGCUGCGAAUCAAUCUUUUCAUGUUUCUUGAAUGUGAGAGUGAUGAAUUUUGAAAACGAAUUUGGGUAUAUUUGAAUUUUGCUGUUUUGUUGUUGGCUUGAGAAGGUAAAUUCUGAAUGUCUGGAAGAAAUCGAAUUCACCGAGACAGUUAUCAUGAUCAUCGGCGUGAUUUGCCUCCGGAGAGACCCUUUCUCCGAGGCCCUCCAUUGUUACAGCCUCCUCCACCAUCUUUGUUAGAUGAUCUUCAGAUACAGGAGGUUGAAAUUAGAAGGCUUUUGAAUGAUAAUCACAGACUUGCUGAGGACCGAAUGGUUUUGGAGCGAGAACUCGGUGCUGCUAAGGAAGAGCUUCACCGAAUGAAUCUCAUGAUCUCUGAUCUUCGUGCUGAACAAGACCUGCGGUCGAGGGAGUUCAGUGAGAAAAGGCAUCAACUUGAGGGGGAUCUUCGUGCUAUGGAGUCUUAUAAGAAGGAGGCUUCCCAGUUGCGUGCUGAACUUCAGAAGCUAAAUGACGUUAAACGUGGAUUAAGUGGAGAUGUUCAGAUACUUAGGAAAGAUCUGGCUAAAUUGCAAUCAGAUAACAAGCAGAUUCCCGGUAUGCGAGCUGAGGUUAAAGAUCUGCAGAAGGAGCUUAUGCUGGCUAGGUAUAAGAUUGAACCUUUUAUCAAUCAUUCUGUUAGAUUUUGUUGUAGUUGGUAUUUCAAUGCAUAGACAUCUGGUUUGGGUCGUAAAUGUUAAAACGAGGUUUUUUUCUCUCUCCUUUGGAACAGAGAUGCAAUUGACUAUGAAAAGAAGGAAAAAUUUGAGCUUAUGGAGCAGCGGCAGACAAUGGAAAAGAAUAUGGUCUCUAUGGCGCGCGAAGUUGAAAAGCUACGAGCAGAACUUGCUACUGUUGAUAGUAGGCCGUGGGGUUUUGGUAUGAUCUUAGAAUUUCUUGGUACAUUUGGUAUUUUCAUUAAGUCACUAACUGCUUUUGUUGUGAUAUAUUAUGUGUCCAGGUGGAUCAUAUGGGAUGAAUUACAACAGUUCGGAUGGCGCUUACCGUGGUUCUUAUGUCGAAAAUGAUAGUUUUUUGGUACUCAUGCUUACAUCCAUGUGUAAGUUUAUGUAUUCUUGUGGGCUUUUACUUUGACACUCCUGUAUUCUUUUUUCUUGUUUCUUAGGGAUCUUCGGAAAGGAGUCAAUAUUACAGCCAUGGGUCUGGCUCACAGAAGAAGCCUCGCUUGGAUCGCCACUGAAAUCUAUAAAUGAUUUUGUGGAAAAUGAAUGAGGUGACAACUAAAUUUCCCACUUCACAACACUCCUCUGGUUGUUUGUGGGUAUGCAUCUACUCUAAAUCUAAAUGUUAUUUCUUCUGCUUUCUCAAUAAGGCGUUAUGAUUAUGUAACUUAGAUGGUUUUUUAAUUUUCAUUUUAGCCAAACUUAGAUGGCUAAUCUAUUUCAGUAAUUUGACGAUUUGGUUCCCUCCUGUUUGCUAUUAGAUGUGUCAUAUUUAUCCUUCUUAUUCUUUUGCUCGUAUUCGUUGCAUCCUGGUUUUAUUAUUUGUAAAAGAUAAUUCCUCUGAUAGAACACCAGAGGACUCUACCAUUGUACCAGUAAGUUUGAGAAACCAUACGCGCACUAACAAGAGGGGAUUCUACUGGCAUCCCCUCCUCUUUUUUUCAAGCCCAAACUCCGUCCUUCUUAUGUAUUUGAAUAAAAAUCUGGUGAGCUAACACCUUUCAAAGGGGUUAUAGGCUUUAGAAAAUUGGUAUAGAGAGAGAUUUGAGCGUAAGUUAUUUACUGUGGUAACAUUUUUUGGAGAAACACAGCUGCAAUUGCUUGUUUCUGGAAGCAGAAAGAGGGAUAACCAGAGACCAUUGUUGCUAAGUAGCAGUGUCAUGUGUGUUUCUACUAGAUUUUAGGGCUACAGGAGAAGCUCAAUUAAGGCGUGAAACCACUGUAAGGACUUCCAUUUCUGGAUUGUGCCAGGAGGCAACGUUUCUCUCAUUGAAGUGUCUUGAGCUUGCUUUUUCAAGCUCAUGUUUGUAGUGUCAAUAUUGAUUCAAUUGGGAAAGGGAAUUAGGCACAUACACUAUCGGAGGAACAGAGACAUAUUGAUACUCUAUGGCCAUCUGACCACAAUGAGUGGCUUCUCAGAACUCAUUCUGGGUUCAUGCCAACAGAAUUCCAUCAGCAGCAGCAGCAAAGACCAGUCUUUGAGGUUCAUCUAGGUCAAUAUGAGCGGGAUCUUUCAUUUCAGGAAGACCUUUAACAAGGAUUAUUCGAGAAGGGUUUGAGCGAUCAGCAUCCUUACCACUGCAUUAGAGCUGAAUCUAGGUCAAUAUGAGCGGGAUCUUUCAUUUCAUGAAGACCUUCAACAAGGAUUGUUCGAGCAGGAUUUGAGCGAUCCGCAUCCUUACCACUGCAUUAGAACUGCCCUUCUGGGAUCAGGCCAACAGAAUUCCAUCAGCAGCAGGAAAGACCAGUCUUUGAGGUUCAUCUAGGUCAAUAUGAGCGGGAUCUUUCAUUUCAUGAAGACCUUUAACAAGGAUUGUUCGAGCAGGGUUUGAGGGAUCAGCAUCCUUACCACUGCGUUAGAGCUGAAUCUAGGUGUUGUGAGUGGUUUUGGACUUGGUCAGGAUUUGGAGUUGCAGGCAUCGAUGGAUUGACAAAAUCUACUCCUUGUUUCUACCAUCAGAAGCCUCGUGCGCCAUUAGGUGUACCACAGUUUUCACUUUUGAAACUAGAUGGAAGGCCGCUGGUCUGGGGUGAAUCUCAAUUGAAUAUUGAUUCUGACCAACAAAAAAUGAUGUUAGAAGUUAGGAGGCCUGGUGAAGACAUCAACUCAUAGAUGGUUAAUGGAUCUAUUGAAGACAAAUCAAAGCGACCUUCAUGGAGUUACUUCAUCAAAGACAUGGUAAUCAGUCUGCAUAGUUAUCUGAGUCUUUCAUCAGCUUUUGGGUCUUCUGCAUGCUCUGAAUGGGAAGGCCAACAGGUUACCACGAGAUGGCAAUUAUCUGCCUAGAUCUAACCUGAGAUAAUUCCUUGUUUUUUAGAAAUAUUGAAGGUGGUCAGAAUUAUUCUGAAACGUCCAAGACAGACAUUCUGAUGCAGAAGUUUAUUUCUAGUGAUAGAACUUUCAUGAUGAGCGAAAUUUUACAAUGAUGCAUCCCUGGAAUCUUAUUGGUUGGUUGACGAAUAAUUCUGGGGCACCAGCUGCAUUUGUAAGUGGAAUUUUUCAGCAUUGAAACACUCGGUAGCAACUUUCUGAAGAAAUCUAUAGUCUUGGAGUACCUUCUGCAUCUCCUUUGAUUUAGUUUACCUUCAGAUAAAGGAACCUUUCCAUAAAUCAAGAGAUGCCAAUGGUCUUGUUGACUAUGUUGAUGGUUGAUGCUACAUCAGAUUUCCGGGUAUGCUCUUUCCAAAGGAUGUUGAUGAUGUGUGUUACUGAAGACGGUCUUCCUACCAAGUUUGGAGACAGGUAUAUGAUCUCUCUAACAAAACAUUCGUUAUGAGGAAGUUUGAGUUUGCUAUGUUAUUAUAUCUGUUAGAGGUUGGCUAUCAUUGUCUUUUAUAUAGGUCUUCAUAUAUCUCUUAAGAUUUCACUGUGAUAUUUUGGUAUAAAUGUUAUCUAUACACAAUUUCAUCUUGUUUCUAGUUUUUCCAAUUUGGUCUUGUAAUCUUUAUAAAGCUUGCGACAGUGGAGGCUGAAUCGGGAAUUUGUGACACUUUUCUAGAUUUCACAUUAUUAUCUUUAUAUAUAAGAUGAUGUUGAUGAAAAUGAGUUACUGGACUGAUGGAGAAGUAGCGGUUCUUAAAGAUGGUUCACUACAUUAAUUUCUGGUUCGGCAUGGAAACAAAGUUCUUUAGAAUUGACUGGAAAUGAUUAUUUCAACCAUGUUAACUUUCGGGAGGCUGCAAGAGAUCUAUAGAUAAGAAUACAGGCAAAGGUAUUGAAGAUAACAAAUACAUGGGAUUAGCUCACUUACUCCUGGAGUUGACUGCUACUUUUGUGGGUUUAAGAUUGAUAUGAAAUUAGAUGGUGUAGGUUUUCCUAGGAUUAUAAGGUUGUCGCUGAUAAAUAUCUAGAGGCUCUUUACCCUUCUCUAGCUUUUCUGCGGACUCUGAGAACUAUCCAAAGAGAGAGUUAGAAACAACUUACAUGUUUUGAAAAGCUUUCCCUCAUAUGUUCUUAUCAAGGACGGAUGGAAUAGUAUUGGAACUGUAUGUAGACUCCGAAGAUCAGCAUAAUUUAGAGGAAGAACAAAAGCGUUAUUCUGGAUCUGCAAGUGCUUUCAAAGAUUCAAGCUUCAGUAGUGUGAAUCUUCUUGGAACGGUACAUGGUGCGGUCCAUUUGUUCUCAGCCAUUGGAUAAGCUUGGACACAAUAGGAAAAGAUUAUCCUUGACCCUCGGCCCUCCAUACCCGUUUACCUAUUAAAAAUUAGGUGUAGAGAUCCUGUCCGUUGUGUCACUUAGCAUUGUAUCGUUGCAUAAAUAUUAGCUAUUAAAAGCUGCUCGUUUCUUGGUUUAUACAGCUUUUGAUUAUUCUUUUCCUUGUUGCAGGCGAGAAAGCUUGAAAAGAAUAGAACCCACGACCAUUCAUCUACAAGUUGGUACAGACAAAGAACCAGAAAGGUUACAACAGAUACCAGUAAGUGUGUUAAUCGUUAGAUACAUCUUCUCAUAAUUUAACAUUUAUAUGUGUCCAUCGGUAUAAUCAUAAUCCACUUGUUAAAAUGUUUAUUCAUUCAUAUGUAUUUCAAGUUAUGAUCUAAGAAUGAUUCUGAUUCGGAUAUAUUCUUUCAGGUGGUGAGAACAGGAGGAAACAUCUUGGACCUUUUUCCUUUCACCAACGUCUUGGUAUCAGGAAAUAAACCGUCUCCAACUUCCUCAAUUGCACCAUCUCUUCUCACACUAAUUGGAUACGCGACCAAAUGAAUGCCGAGCAUGUCCACAACCUUGUCUCCACUGUAAAUCUCCCACAUUUGCUCUGCUACUGUCCGUAACCCUUGGACACAUUCAAGACUCUCUGGCUCUGACAAUGAUAAGUCAUCCACCGUGAUCUGGCCACCGGUAUGCUCAUACCAGAGCGAUAACCUGUAAGCUCGGAUUUCGUUGGUGUUGUUUGUAUCGGUUUGGUAGCAACCUAUUGCAAUCUCGGUGUCCCGACAACCGUCCAUUGAUCUCUGAUUAAUAUUGGCUGAUCCCAUCAAAACGUAUGUAUCGUCCACUGCAAACAUACAACAAUUCCUUUGAUUCAAUUCUCAAUUGCUUAUGGUUUAUGGAAGUUUUUACGAAUUAUCAAUCUUUUUUUGCAUUUCAGAAUGGCGAGUUGUAGAUUGUUUGUUACCUAUCAUGAGCUUGGAGUGGACAUAGACCAUGAAUCUCCGAUUUCUCUGCGCAUUCCAAUAAUUUGUUUUCUGAUGGGGCAACGAAACUGCUUCAAACUCUCCAUCUCUCUUCUCUUCUCUGUUUGCAAGACAAAAGAAAUUUAAAUAAUCCCUCGGAUGUGAUCCGUCUCCAAUUUCCCAUAUAGCCUCUCCAAUGAUCCGAUACAUCAUCGACAUCGUCUCUCUCGUCCAAUGAAGUAUUUCUUCAACUGUUUCACUCUCGGGUGGCCCUUCUGGCCACAUUGGUAUCACUAUGUACACUGCAAAUCUCUCCCUUGCGCGUAUCUUAGCUGCUAUCUUUAACGCUAUUUCAACAGGUAUCAAGUUUGUGCAUCCGCUGCAGGAUUAGAUAUGAUAAACUAACCAGUUCAGAAUCUUGCAAUAGAUUAUAGAAGUUCUGUUACAAAAACUUACGUACCUAUCGCUCUUGCUUUCCCAAUGAUCACAGCUUCCCAUGAAAUACUGAUUCUCAAUGUAUAUAAACCUCUCAGCCUUCCGAAUUGCCGCAACAUAGCCAUCGUGUACACUCUUCUCUACCUGUAAACCUCUUGGCAUCUCUGUUGCCGAUAUGUGAUCUAUCGAUCUUAGAACUUGAACAUUCCAUUUCCGAUUAUUUUCCUCCGUAUGUCCGGUUAGGUUUACCAAGUUUCUGAUCCCUGAUGUGUUAACCAACACUGAAGGGUUACACUGUUUUGUCCAUCUCUGUUCGAAGUUCUUCAGAACAUCCCAAGCCGCUCCUCCGACCACAGACACAUGGCAAUCGUGCCAUGGCUCUCUUGGUCCGCCUUUACUUAGAUUUGCUCCGGCUACACUUGUCUGGUAAAAAUCAGCCUCCAUUCCAAGAGUACAAAACAGAGAAUGCUCCUCUGUAUCAUACCGACCAUCGCAAAGAUCAAACCCACCAAGGAAGCUCAUGAUCUCUCGCUCCGUAGUACUUGAGUUUGUAACACGUGUAUCCAAUGUGAUUGUCUUUUGGUGGUGCGCAAACGCUGUGGGGAGCUUUUUGUGCGAUCUUGGACACAAUCUACAAACAACAUUUGUGUUUUUGAAGUAAGCAAGGGCUGUUUCGGCGUUUGUUCGCAUUACACCUUUGUUCUUGAUCAUCGGUAAAGACGUCUCAUCGUUCCACAACAUUACUCUCACAGCUACGCCUUCCUCUGCUUUCCGUUUCAGAAGCUCGCCAAUUGUUACUCCAACAGCAUGCGGAAUCUCAGUCUCAUCAUCACGUACUAGAACAAGAUUAGGGUUUAAUGCCCAUCCUGCGAUGUAAACCAAGUGCCUGGCGCUUUCGAUUGCUUUGUAUACAUCUUCCCAUAAAUUUCUUGCAUUUAAAGGAACAUCAUGAACCCUAGGAUCAAACGUGCCCUUGUGGUGCGCAUCUUGAUAGAAUUCCACUCUACAGUUCGUUCUCUGAGGGAAGCUCGCAUUCAUAAUACCUUCAAAAGACUCUCCUUCAAGCGUUUUGCACCAUCCCGGUUCAAUAUAAGCCGGUCUGAACCACAUCAGACACUUUAGCUUCAAAUUACGUUUCUUUGACCCAUGGUCUGCAGUCAGAGGGAAGAAGUCGUUAAUAACCGCUGAAUUAGAAGUCAGGAUCUGUUCUGCAGAGAUAUGGAAUCUUCCAAGAACAGAACAUCGAGUCUUGAGCGUGAUGGUGAUGGUCGUGUCAGAAACCGGGUGUGCGCAGAGGACCUGAAAAGUCUGAUUCCAGACACGGUCGUAUUCUGAGCUUGUUUUAGCAACUUUCUUCUUGUUUAUCUUGAUGGUCACGUAAGCAGAUUUUGGCUUUGUACAUAUACACUGUGAAACAAAUAUAAACAAUAGCUCAUGAGAAUGAAGGAAGACAACGAUAACAUCAUCAUUGAAUGUUAUAGACUUACAUUGAAAGGAAACGGAGGAGAAAAAGGUGUUGCAUCGAAGAUUGUAAUCUCGAGUGUUCCAUGGAAGAACUUCUUCUGUUCUUCAAUCUCCAUCUUCUCUUUAUUCAAAAUCUAUCUUCAGAGAAUGAGAGUUAACCUUACUGUGAAUCUCAGAUAUAUGUUUGAAGCUGGUGGUCAAUUACAUUGAUCGCAAAGGUUGUGUUUUAUCCAUAUAUACUUUGUGAAUGUUUUUGGCAAAACUUGUAGGAUUCUCUAUGGACAAUCUUAAAGAAAACAAUCAACCAUAUAUUUCACAAUAAUUGAAGGUGAAGUGCCUUUGAAUACAAACUCAAGCCUUGGACUCUGGUUUUUACAACUAAGAAAUUGAAAAAGCAAAGUAUCAAAUUGUAUAUAAACAAAAGUUUAGGACUAAAAUGGAGAAAGUAUGAAAAUAUCUGGUGGUCUUUAUAAAAAACUCGUGGGAUAAGCCCUGUACAGCAAUAAUGAGUUUUUGUUAAACUAAUCAGUCUAAGUUUACUAUAUAGUCUUAAUCCUAAAAACAAAUAAAAAAAUAACUAUUUAGUGCUAAAAACAAAUAAAAAUGGUGUGAUAUAUUUUGGAAUCUGGUAUUUGCAUUAGAUAAGAAUUAUUACAAUAUACUGUAGUAAAAUUUAUGUAUUUAUUGGUUAUGGUUUUAUGUAUAACAACUACUUUUUACUAUAUGUGACAUUUAAACCAUUCCCUAAUAGAUAGGGACUGAGUACACAUUAAUAAAUUUAUAACAAAACUCUCUUCUUUUGCUCCGUUUGCUCUCUUCUCUCUCUCUCUCUCUCAAACGAAAAUGACCAGUUACGGCGCGAUUCCGACGUCGUCACAUCCAUCACCGGCGAUAGAUCUCCAAUACAUCUCACGCGCCAAACACCGUAUAAAAUCCGGACUCGCCACGCGCCGCCCAUGGAAAUCGAUGUUCGAAUUCGAAUCCAUGACUCUCCCGCACGGUUUCUUCGACGCGAUCUCGAGGAUCAAGACGAACCUCGGCUACUUCAGAGCUAAUUACGCCAUCGGAGUCCUCUUCAUCCUCUUCCUUAGCCUUCUCUACCACCCGACCUCGCUAAUCGUCUUGUCAAUCUUGGUCGUCUUCUGGAUCUUUCUCUACUUCCUCCGCGACGAGCCUCUUGUGGUUUUUAAUUACCAGAUCGACGAUCGUACGGUUCUCAUCGCUUUAUCGGUUUUGACGGUCGUGAUGCUCUUGUUGACUCACGCCACGUCGAAUAUUCUCGGCUCUUUGUUAACCGCCGCCGUCUUGGUUCUGAUUCACGCGGCGGUUAGAAGAAGUGAUAAUUUGUUUCUUGAUGAGGAAGCUGCGGCGGUCACUGAAGCGUCAGGGCUGAUGUCAUACCCUUCGUCAUAAAUGCCAAAUUUUUAUGAUCAUCAUCUUCUAAUUUGUUGUUGUUGUUUUUUUUGUAUCUUUGGGGUGUCAUUGAGAAAAACUUGAGAAUGUUCUUCUACUUUUGUUCAGUUUGUUUAACAAUUUUUACUAAUCACUCAUAAUUGCCAAUUAAGAGGACUUUGUUUAUUUAUACAAAAUCCUUGAAUUGAUCUUACUCACUAUACAAGAAAAGUGAUCAACGGAGCUUAAAAACAACAUUACAAUCAAAAUUAAACUAUAUCUUCUCAGUCUCUGCAUUUGCUAAUUCAGCUUUUGAAUUAUGAUCUCUGACCUCUCUCAAUCGAUAAUCUUCCACUAAACCUCCCUGAGAUUUCAUUCAUUACAAUAUCUCCUUCCAAUAAACGCAAUACCUUCAACAACAAAAAGAGACCAGUCACACUCAAGAGAGAUUUAUUGAAAACAUGAACAUGUUUCAAGAUUGGUGAGUUUCUUUACCUGAGACAUACGAGGACGCAGAUGUGGAUCUCUACGUAUACACAAUGAAGCUGUAUGAAUCAUACAAAUGACUUCUGUUUCUGAAUAUCUCUUCUCGAGCCUCGGAUCAACCAAUUCCUCAACCGCAUACUCUUCCAACAAAGACCUUGCCUGCUUACAAGAACAAUAUGAGACUCAAAGUUAGCUUAAAAGAAAGAAACUUUCAGACCUCAUCUUUUAUUCAAAAUGAGCUAAGGAGCCUUAAAAAGGGCAAUUUUUGGAUUUACCCAUUCAGUUAGACAUUGUUGUCCCUUUGGUCUGUAAAUAUCCAUUGCCUUACGACCCGUGAUUAGCUCAAUUAGUACAACCCCAAAUGAGUAAACAUCAGCUUUCUCUGUUAUUUGUCCACUUUGAGCAUAUUCUGGAGCCAAAUAGCUACCACAAACCAAACAAAACUAGUAAUUGAGAUACUAUAAAAUUCUUGAGUUACAGAAUGAUAUUUUAGUUCUUGUUUUUUCUUACCCAAAAGUUCCUAUCACACGCGUAUCUACACCAAGCUCUCCAUCAGGCUGCCACCGUGCUAAACCAAAAUCUCCAACCUGACAGAAAAUAAUAAAAACAGAAUUCAAACAAAUGUAUAAAAAGAAAAAUAGCUGCGAAAAGUGUUACUGAAGAUAAUAUACAUACCAGUGGUUCAUAAUCAUGAGUGAUUAGUAUGUUGUUAGGCCUCAUGUCUCUGUGAACAAUGCAACCCACUCUACACUCUUCAUGUAGAUAUCGAAGACCUCGAGCUGCUCCAACCGCGAUUUUCUGUCUUGCAGGCCAUCCCAAAGCGUCUUUAUGGCGACCUGAUAGGACAUUUCAUGGAAGUUAGUCAACUCUUAUCAAGUUUCUAACUUCACUUACUUCAACUCUAUAUAAGAUUUACCGUAUAGAUGAGAGUCUAAUGAUCCAUUGCAAAUGUAUUCAUACACCAAGAGUCUUCUGCCUUCUUCGAUGCAGAAACCGAUCAACAUUACUACGUUUCGAUGCUGAGCACAGCUCAAAACUUCGACUUCAGAGCAGAACUCUACAUCUCCUUGUGUGCUAGCCAAUUUGUGUUGCUUUACUGCUACAAUCUGGCCUUCAGGUAAUACACCUCUAUGAACAGAUCCAAAUCCACCUUCUGCCAAAAAAUUAGCUCGUGAAAACCCAUUUGUUGCAAGCUCUAACUCUUUGUAUGAGAAAAACCUUGGCGGUUUUCCAAAUACAGGCGUUUUGUGCUGACAGAUAGAACAGAGAGGUGGCGGAGGAGCAUUUCGUGAUAGCGAAAUUGUUUCUCUUAAGUUCCCACUAUAGUCCUCCAAGUCACUUCUUUUACUCGACAUAGCUUUUUCUUCUCCAUCAUCAAGCUUAGAAAUUUUCUCAAGCAACACCUUUUUAGUAGAUACUUGAGCAGGCUUAUCAUCAGUUUUCCACAGACUUUCCUCAGAUUCCUGCAAUGAUAGGCGACGAGUGCCAAGAUAUUCUGAUAUCCAUGGCUGGAAUCUCAUACUCGUGGAAGGCAGUGAUAGAUUUUCACUCUCUGAAUCAGAAUCGGAUUCACUCUCUUUGAUGACCAAAGUUUCAUCCUUUUUCACUUCCACCGUGAAAAAAGGCGAUGAUGUUCCGAGGUCAGAGCUAGAAACUGAUGAAGUCCCCGCUUCUGUUCCUGUGAAAGACGUCUCAACCUCAGGACUGCUCAUUGGAGUUGUUGUAACUCCCGCUUUAACAGAAUCUAACAACCUGUUUUUGUUCUUUUCAGAUGCUAGUUCCCGUUCUUUUGUUGGUGACCCGACCAAGUUCAAUCGCAGAACUUUUGCCUGAGAACGCUUCAUCGCCACAAUGUUACACUGUAGCUCGUCUAAGCACCGUUUCUCUUCAUGCUUCAGGUGCCUGUAAAAGAACCAUUCGACUUCAGAAAGAGUAAAUACUAAAGAAAUGAAGAAUGGAAAUAGAUGAUCUACUUACUUAUCCAGAACUACCCAAUUUGCUUGCGAUUUCUUGGCCUCAGCGGCAACAGCCCCACAUGGUGAUCCUGAAACAAUCUUGAUCCUGACAUUAACCUAUCAAAGAAACAAGCGUGAGAAUAAAUUUUGACGUUUCAGAGAUAUCAUUAUUUGAUGAGGGCCUGAUGAAUAAACCUUGUUUGGAUCAUAGACAUCAUGAAGCUGGAGAAUCAUUUGGGAACAAGUAUCAGUGAGAUCACUCUUUAUCUCAGGAUCUGCAUCAGAAUGCAAUUUCCGAUGACCAGUAGCACAAUCUCCAGCAAACCUCGGGAAAGUCCAUAGCUUUCGGCCUAACAAUUUCCAUCACAGAAGACCAAACAAAUAAGAUAAUGAAUAAAAACAGACGACACUAAUCUCAAUAAUUUAGCAGCAAAAGAAGAAAAAAUACCAGCAUUGUGAGAAGUGACAACAACAAUGAGAGUAAUGCAAUCUCCAGGUUUAACAAUAUGGGUCAGAGCCCAAACCAAUGCUGUCUUUGAGAUCUCUCUAGAUGCUUUAACAGCAACAAGAACAUUCUCAGUCCCAUUAGCAGCACCUAAUCUCUUCUCCCGCAUCAUUAUAGAGACUAGUAAUGCAAGAACAAAUCUCUAAGAUUCUUCUCUUCCCAAACGAAGAUUUGAUUUCUAAAUGAUCCUCAGAGAUAAUGUAGUUUCCAGGAGAGAUAGAUCCACUAGAUAUGAUUGCAUUAUUAUGGCAACUUGGAAACCGAGACAAAAUCAGCCAAACACACACUGGUUGAUCUGCAGAUGGAUACAAAACUCGUAGACAAGACAAGACCACUCACCCACUGAAUCACAUAAACUUCAAAACACAAAAUACAAGACCACUCACCACUUUUGAGAUUACCCACCAGCUUUUGGGGCAAACGCAAAUCCAAAAAAUCCUUGUACCCUUGCGAAUAAAAAUGAAAACUUUAAGCUGAAAAAUCUCCCCAAAGGAUCCAGAGAGAUGCUUAUCCUCUCAAUCCAGUCACUCAAUAGUCAAAUCACUGUGUAAAUGUUUCUCAAGAAACAGACAGACAAAGGAAAUGAAGCCUCUUCCUUUUUUUUUUUGGAUCUAAACACUUUUCAACAAGAGAAAGGGCAAAACACAAUUUAAUAAAUCUCUCUCUGCUUCAAUCAGCUUUCUACCAACCAUCAAAAUCACACCUACAGUAAGAGAGUGAGAUAAAUGAGCUCUUGAAACAGAAACUGCCAAAAAUAAGUAUCCUUUAGACUAGAUUUUGCAGAGAAGAGUAUAGCAUUGGAAAGAGAUUGAUACAUUAAAAAAUUAUAAUCCCCACAAGAAAACAAAACUUAUUUAGGAACAGAUGACACAAAUAAACUAAUAUUAUCAUCAAAAUCAUGUUGUACAACUGUAUCACAAGGAGACAUCAUCUAAAGUAUACUAUUACGAUAAGUCUCUCACCAAGCUAAGCACUCAUAUAUUUCACCGCCAUGAAGAAAAAAAGAGGGAGAGAUAAAAGGAAGAAGACACAAGAGUGAAACAGAAGGUUUAUUAAUUAUAAGGCUUACUUUACAUCAAGCAUUGAAAUUUUGAAAUCAGUAUCGUUAUGUUUUGUCUGACUUGUGAAAGUUUCAGCUUUAAACAUCCAAAGCACGUUCAUAGAGAUAGAAACAAGACAGUAUUAAAGAAAGAAAGAUGUAGAGAAGAUACAGUAUAAAUGCCUGCCUCAGAUACAAACAAGCACAAAAGCGCGAAAAAUGUGUUAUAAAAAAAAAAAAAAAAGGGGGGGGGGGGGGGGGUCUACCUUUUUUAGGUUUUUAGGGUUUCUUGAUUUUUGUCUACACAGCCAAAGACCCUUAUUAUAUCACUGUCUCUGUCUCUGUGUGUGAGUGUGUGAGUGUUAACCUGAACGAUCCAGUGAGUUAUGUACAAAAACAGUAUAUUAAAUAUAUUUUGCAGUAAAUUUUCUCAUUGGCCAAAGUAUUUUACUUAGAAAUAGCAUUGGACAGAUAGACAAAACGAUUAAUUAGUUUUUUCAACCUUUAGCUAAAACAUUAACUAUAUUUUCAUUUUUGAAAUUUUAAUACAGAACAAGUGACUUUUAACAGUUGCGUUAAACUAGACUAAACUCAAACAAAGUGGAAUGAAAACUAAACUAGACUCAAACAAGAUAAACAGUUGCAUAAUUGUGUUAGUGUGUGUGUGUGUCAUUGAUAGAGUUAUAGACAAGUCACCAUCAUAGGACCAUAAUAAGCUGCGUUUUCUCUGACCAGAGUCAUUCACUCUCCGAUUGUUAAAUAUCUCUACGGCUAUUUAUCAUCUCAGUCUCGUCUUGUCACACUUACUUCUUGAGAAGCCAAAUUAAUGAAAGAUAACAUUUUUAAACAUAAAUAUAAAAAAAAAAAUCUAAAGAAAAUAGAUACUACUAGUGUAAAAAGGUUAAUGUUUUAGUGGCGGCUGUCGCGAUUGGGCAAUGUGCUAUGCUCGCGACAAUGAAUAACACAAGGAUUAAAUUAGUGUCUCGUGCUAAUCAAAUCACCCUUAUCCUUUUUUCAAAAUUAAAAUUGUAAGUAAAAGACAAAAUUGUAGUUUUGGAAGGAUUACAGAAAUAUUUAUUUAUAAGAGUUUAGGGUCAAUGAAUCUGCGUGCUAUGUUUAGCUCAGAAUAUUUUGGGGAUCAAAGUUGACUAGUUUUUAUAUGUUCAAGUUCAACCUUCAAGGCAGCUCAUUGUCUCGUAGUUAAUUAAAUAAUUAGUCUCGAACUUUGUUUUGUCUUAUGUCUAAAUUUCAACAAGCCUUCUUGUUUUGCUAAUGUUUAAACAACACAAGUAUGCUUUUGUACAUUAUUUUGUAUCCAACACAUUUGAAAAACUAAUUUAAGAUGUGUCUACUACGUACACACCUUAAUGAAGCUAUUAUGAACGUGGAUCAUACGGUUAUCUUCAAAUUCUCAAAUAUCAAAAUAUAAUUCACAUAUAAAGGAUGUGGAAUCUGAUUAUGAAGAUCGUAGUAGCUUCAAAUGAGUUAUAAGGCUCGGGCAGUUUGAAGACAACUUUCAUGGCGAGAAGUUGUUUAAACAAGUUUGGACACCUUUUCUGCUUUUCGAUAUAACUUUCGUUCCUUUGUUGUUUGAUGAUGAAGUAGAUGUGUUCCUCCAGCCCUGUCUUAGGGGGAGGUGACAUAGGCAUUUGCCAUGAGUCCAAAACGAAAUUUUGAAAUUUUCUUAUAGUAAAAAAGUAUAAUUUUUUAAAGAAAAAAAUUUGAUAAGAGAUCUUAUUUUUCUAUUUGGUUUUGAUUUGGUGAGGGUGUUCAGACAUAUAAAGACAGAACUGGUUACCCCUAACCGUUAAUGUCUUUUUUGCCAAUACUUUAUUUCCUAAUGUUUUUAUUUGGCCAACACAUAAAUUUUUAGGAUUUAAUUAUCGCUAAGUUAUUUGUUGUUAGAAUUGUGAACCAAAGGUUUUUGAUUAUAAACAUGCUAGUUUUUCGAACAACUAGAGAAAUGGAGACAUACGCUAGUCAUUUGAUUGGGUUGAGAGUUAUAUUCCUAAUUCAUCAAUAUUUGUAUAUGGAAUUAAUUUGAAAAAUAUGAUAAAUCUAAAGACUCUUUUAUAGAACAAAAUAAAUACGAAUGUUUUUUAGUUCUUUUUGGUCACAGCUAAGUUUUCAUAUUUUAUUAAACUCCAACCCAUUCAUAUAUAUUUGAAAUACAUAUUGGUGAAAACAAAACAAUUUAUUAGUAAAUCUUAUUUUUUAAAAUUCCAAUAUAAAUAUUUUGGUUUUAACAGAGAAAACAAAAAAUAACGGAACCAUAUACAUUUGAAAAACAUCAUAACAAAAAAAGUAGCUAAUCGUAACAGAAAAAAAAACUACCCAAUUUCAAUUACUAAUCAAUAACAAAAACCAACUGUUCAUCGAUCAAUGCUACUCUAUAUAAGCUGCAGAUACAAUAAGCCAACACUCCUCAUUGUCUCUUAAAACACAUAUUAAUAAGCAAUCAAAUUGAGUUUUCUUCAUAUAUAUACCCUAAACAAUAGAAAAAAAUGACCAGCAUAGCUUCUACAUUUAAGACUUUGUGUUUGUGUCUCUUGUUCAUUGUUGUUGUAAGCCGUCCGACCGUUAGACCAAAAGUUUUCAACGUCAAACGCCAUGGUUCAAUACCAGAUGGAAUAACUGAUAACGCCAAUGUAUGUACACAACCCAUUUUUCUAAUUAUAUACAUUUAUCAAUAAUUUCUGAGAUGAAAAUCUAUGGAUAUUAACACAGUAAAUAAACAUAUAGGACCAAUAUCCAAACACAAAAUAUCUAUUUUUUAUUUUAUUAAUAUAUGUCAUAUUCUUACCGCAUAUUAAAUUAGGCAUUCACAAGUGUAUGGAGCCGUGCAUGUGCAAGGAGAAGUGGAAGUAGCAAAAUAUAUGUACCAAAAGGAACUUUUUACCUUGGUGGUGUAGAGUUCGUCGGUCCGUGCAAAAAUCCUAUUGAAUUCGUCAUCGAUGGAACUUUAUUGGCUCCUGGAAACCCUAACGACAUUAAGCAAGACACAUGGAUCAAAUUUAGGUACAUCAAUGAUCUUUCUAUCUCCGGUUUCGGUACACUUGACGGCCAAGGAAAACAGUCUUGGCCACUCAAUGACUGUCACAAAAACCCCAAUUGUCCUAAACUAGCUAUGGUAACAUUUCUUAAACUUUCCUUUUUGUUUAUAUAUGGCUCAUUUUCAUAAUAUGAUUAUUAUUUAAAGUCUAUUAAAAAAGGUGUGACAUAAUACUUGUACAUAUUAUUUUGAUAUAAAAUAAUCUGGAAACUCCUUUUAACAUAUAAAUUUGAAAUUUGCUUACAGACUAUGGGAUUUGCAUUCGUGAACAACUCAAAAAUCAAAGACAUAACAUCACUCAACAGCAAAAUGGGACAUUUCAACUUCUUCUCCGUCCAUCACUUUAAUAUUACUGGUGUCACUAUAACAGCUCCUGGAGAUAGUCCUAACACUGAUGGUAUAAAGAUGGGUUCAUGUAGCAACAUUCAUAUCUCAAACACAAACAUCGGUACCGGAGAUGAUUGUAUUGCCAUUCUCUCUGGAACUACUAACCUCGAGAUCUCUAACGUCAAGUGUGGCCCUGGACAUGGGAUUAGUGUCGGAAGCUGAGGGAAGAACAAAGACGAGAAAGACGUGAAGGGCUUAACAGUAAGAGACAUCGUUUUCAAUGGCACAAGCGAUGGUAUUCGGAUCAAGACUUGGGAAUCUUCUGCUUCGAAGAUCCUCGUUUCGGAUUUCGUGUACGAAAAUAUUCAGAUGAUUGACGUUGAGAAACCGAUCAACAUUGAUCAGAAGUAUUGCCCUUACCCACCUUGUAAACAUGAAAAGAAGGUUAAAUUUCUAUGCAGUAAUAUAUUUUCAUUUUCUUUUCUUUUAUCACAAGCAAAAUAAAAUAAAACUUAUCUUUUCUUCUUUGUUUUGUUUUUUCAGGGUGAAUCUCAUGUUCAGAUCCAAAACCUUAAGUUAAAAAAUAUAUAUGGAACAUCAAAGAACAAAGUGGCAGUGAAACUGCAAUGUAGCAAGAGCUUUCCAUGCAAAAACGUUGAGCUGAUUGACAUUAACCUACGACAUAAUGGACUUGAGGGUGGUCCUUCCACUGCAGAGUGCAGAAAUGUUGAUGGUUCUGCAAGUGGGAAGAUGGUUCCUAAGCAUUGUCUGAAUUGAUUUCACCUUCUAUCAAAACAAUGAGAUGUGUAGCAUAUGAAAUUUUCAUUUAUGUAUAAUUUAUCUGAUUAAUUGGUGUAUACGAUUAUGUUUUGUUGUUGUAACCGAAAUUCCAAACUGAUACAUAAAUAUGUACAUAUGCUUUCUGAUAAAUUAGCAUCCAUAAUCUACAUUGCCUGAAAAAUCGAAUUUAAAACAUACUGUGGAAACAUGAUUAACAACUGGAACAAACAAAUUAAACCAUUAAACCUCAAUCACAAAGAUUCUGUAUGAAUUCAUUAAAUCCGGUAGAGCUGAAGAAACUAGAUUGAACCAUGCAUACUCUAGUUUCAGUUUUGACUGGGCCGUUUGAGGGUCGAGAAGGGCACAAUCUUGAGCCCAUUAUUAAUAACAUCCAAAUAUAAUUCAAUAGUGAAACCCAAACACAUUUUUGUAUUUCGUAGCUUCUAGACGAUACGACGUCGCUUUGACUAAGUGUGGAAAAGCAGAACGGCGGCGUAUUAGUUGUUAUCCCCGAGUCGAGUCCACCUUUUUGGAUAAUCCAGCGGCUAUCGGUUCGACCCGACCGUAAAAAUCCCCAGAAAACAGCUUAAACCCUAAAGUGUCUGAUCUCGUCUUCUUCUUCAUUUCUUUGAUUCCCUUCCAAUGGCGUCUUCUUCAAAAGUAUGCAGAUUAUCAUCCAAGAUACAUUCUUUAACCCAGAAGCUUACCAAGACGAAUGUUCACGUUUCUUCCUUACCUUCUCCCAUUAAAACUUCAUCUCCAAUUUCAGCAUCUACCCGUUUCAGUCAAUCUUUUAGGUCAGUGUUUUUCAGGAAUCUUACUGUUAGAUAAGUAUCACUACACAUGUAUUGGUGUGAUCAUUAGGUCUGCAAAUACUAAAAGUCUGAAAAUUUCGGGAGAAUUGUUUUGAUGAAUUUGGUUAUUUUGCUGAAUUAUUGCGAUUUUGAUUUUGGAAUGUGGGGAAUGGUUUCACAGACUACCAGUGGAGCUAAGUAGCUGUUUAUCUAUGUUGCCACUACACAGUGCUAUAGCAUCUGCCAGAUUGAUAUCAAGUUUGUCUGUUGAAUCUAAGAACUGGGGUUUAGUUCCUCAAGGUUUGUCUUUUCAUCCCUUCUCUCUCUGUAACUAUUACAUUUUAAGAACAGAGGUGAAUAUCAAUCUAUUGGUUUGAAGAAUUGAGGACUUGUUACAUUUUCUAUAUCAAGAAGAUUCACAUUCUGUUGUUUCCCUGUGUUGCAGUUACAUCUUUUUUAAUCAUUGGAUGUUGUUUUUUCCUUGCGUGCUAGUUUUAGACAUUUGGUUGGUUAUACGGCAGUAAGUGUCAUCACGCUUACGUUUUAAACUGUGGUGUGAUCUGUUCUUGACAGGGAAAGUAUAUUUCUAGCUGAUUGAUAUAGCAGUAACAGGAGCCUGAUAGAUUGUGUUAACUUUGAUUUUUGGUAUUCCCUUUUCAACCCAUUUGUGAAUCUGAUGUUUUCUUUGUAUCAAUGAUAGUUCUUGCCUACUUUGACAUUCUUGGUUUGUUACAUGUCAUGGUCUACUUUGAUUGAAAUUUUUGUAUAUCAAGAUGUUUACAUGCGUUGGCAGCUCUAGUUUCAUUGUUACUACCUGGUUCCUGUUUACUAAAUUAGCAUAAAUUAAUUCAUCAGAGUUGGUAGUUGGUACUUUGUCGAUCGCUCUUAUCUUAUGGAAGCUUAUAUUUGAUAUGGACUUGUUGGUUAGCUUGAAUGCAUUUAAAAGUUAACCUUUUUAUCUGAAAUAUAUAUUGCAGGUAUUUCUAUGCCUUUAUGACAGUAUUUCAUCUUACAACAAGUUUGAGGGAGGAUAAAGACAUGAAAUGUAAACAAAACUCGGGUUGUAUCGUUCUUUUCAUCUCAUAUCGAAUUCGGAAGGUCCUGUAUUUAAAACAGGUCCUGACACUCUCUGUUUUAAAUUCUUUCAGUUUUGAGUUGUUUUCUGCUUCUUAUACAAAUUAAUGGGUUAUCAGCAAUUGAAUGGUCAGUGUGAUGUUUGAUCGUAAAUAUAUAGUUUUCAUUGCAAUGUCCGAUAUUUAACAUAUGAGUCAUAGAUGAUUAGACCCUUGUUUAAAUUGACAUGAUCCAUACAUUGUGAAAAGAAAAGAAAAAUCGAAUGUUUUGUGUCUGUUGGCAAGUAAAAUGUCUGAAAUACAAUUCAAUGUUCAUGGAAAUAGAAAUCAACGAUUAAUAUGAGAGGUGAGACCGUGAGAGGAAGCUUUCUUCCUCUUCUGCUACUUCUUCAUCGACUCGAGAGACAUCAUCGGAGAUCAAAGCGCGUAACUGGGAAAUAGAACGAGAGAGUUUGAAGCCAAAAGAUGUCUUCUGUUUAUUCAUCGUGAUCUUGGAAGAGAAUACGUCGGAAGAAGUGGAGAUGAUCAGAAACGCCAGAGCUUGGAUUAUCACAAACAUGGCAGCAUUUGUCAAUACUUCCGUCCACGAAGCCAUUUGAGUUUUUUUUUCUAAUACUUCAGCCGUUUUGCAAAUUUCACAAUGAAGAAAACAAAUGAUUUAAAGAGGCUUAACAAGGGUAGAGAUAUAUUGUUUUCAAGUUGUUUUUUUUUUUGCCCUAUUUUUUUUUAAAAUAGUGAAUUGAGUGUACGUCUUAGCAAUUACAUAAACACAAGCCUUUGCUCUUGCUUUCUAGUAUAAAAGUAAGUACGUGUAACAAUAAUUUAGACAAAUAAAUAUGUUUUUUUCCUCUUGUCUCUUGUUGAACAUGAGAAAUAAAUUUGCUUUAUGGUAAGAAAACAUGGAGGAUAGAGGAGGAAAAUGAGAAAAAGGCUCAUAUUUCUUGCUACACCAAGUUACUCCAUGUAGUUAAAAGGUCUUUCCAAUAAUCACCAAACAAUUCUAUUGAAUUCAAUAUCAAAUAAAAUAAAGCAGUCACAUAAGUUUUUUUUAUGUAAUAGAGUUCUCGAUCGAAUAUGUCAUUAUCUAAAUUUUAUGAUAAAUUGUUCAUUAAAUUUUUUUCUUUUCUUCUUGUUCAAUAAGUUUUGUAGAAUACUAAAUUUCCAUCAGAGAUUGUGUUAGAUUUUUUGAUAUAUCGCCACACUGAUAGAGUUUAUAAGAGGUUGUUCAUCGAAACAAAAAAAAACAUUUACUAUGCGAAAAUAGAUAAUUCGAUCACUGGACACUCAUAAUUUAAUUUUACUUGAUUUUCAUUUUUUUUGGUCAAAAAUUCUAAGAUGGUUUAAAUUUAGAUUUAUGUUAAGAUUUGAGACAAUAAAAAUAAUGGAGUUUUUAUAUGGUUACCAUUGGUUAACCAAUUUCUAGUUUAAAAUACAAAACGAACCACAAACUUCUAUAAUUAUUGCGUAGAAAGUUGUUGAUAUGAUGCACGUUAAGAAAAGAGAAAAUUAUAUAUUUUGCCAUGAACAAUGUAUAAAUUUGUAAAGAAUUCCACUUUCUUCCAUAUCUUUUCCCGGAUGCCAUAAGACUGAUGUAUGAAUACAUUUUUACCCUCUUCUUAAUAGAACCAAAUAACAAAUAAAAUAAGCAAUUAAAAUAUACUCUCUCACAUAUAUUCUGUCCUCUAUCGUUAUAUGUUUUAUUUUUCUUUCCCCAAGCUUCCAUUUCUCUCUUUCUAACCUUUAUCUCAUAUUCUCAAACUUCUUUCUCCAACUUUAUCUAAUAGACAUGUUAUUUUUCAAGAAUAUAUCUCAACCACGACCUAAUUUUUCAUAAAACAACAAAGGUCCUACAAAGAUAUUUGCGAUGGACUAAAUCCACUAAUGAACAUUAAUUUACUUUGUCUAUCGAAAUUAUAUCAUCUGAUUUCGUUGUCCAUCGAGUAGAAAUCGAUUAAGAUGUAAUAAUAAGGUAAUUAAUGGACUAAUUUCAUCAAUGUCCACUUCUAAUGGAAUAUUUAACUUUAUAUAUAUUUUUACUUAUUGUACAUAAUGGAAUAUUCCACAAAAGUUGUUCUUAGAGUUCUUCAAUGUAAAUUUCAAUGGACCAGAUCUACUGCACCUAAGAUGUCCAUCAACACAAUUGUCCAUAUGUUUUACUACUUAUCUAUUUGUAUUUGUCAUUCACCAGUUUAAGAAAACUUAUAUAAUUUUUGUGGAAGUAUAAUAACCAACUCACCCCGCUUCAGAGGACACGCAGUGGAGAAGUCUCUUGGAACCGUCAAAGUAAGCUUUCGAUGGACUAGAUCUUCUUCAUUUGUCCAUCAUAUAAAACUUUAGAGGACCAAAUUCCUAGUCUCAAUAUCCAAACAAGUUAAAUAGCAGAGUUGUCCACACGUCAGAGGACAUGCAGCAAAGUUGUCUCUUGAUAUUUUUCAAAUAAGAUUUCGAUGGACUAGAUCUACUUUAUGUCCAUCAUAAUAGUAGAGUUGUCCCACGUAUCUCUCACUUGUCCUUCAGUAACAACUAUUGAGAUCUACUUUUUUGUUUUAGAUUUACUUAUUAAACAAUUCAAUUAUCCUAUGGAUAAUAGCUUUACUUUAUCACCCAUUAAUGCUCACUGUACCCUGUCAAAAAUCCUGUCAAAUCGGCGCAAAACCUCUCCUCCUGCUGAGGGUAGUUUCGUCUUCUUGUUUCAUCCAUUUUCACUGUUUGUGGCACUACAUAAAAUGUCUAAAACAAAAUGGCAGUUCCAGUUUUUUUUGGUUAAAAACUGGCAAACCAUAUAAUAUUCCCGAAAAGAAAAAGCACAAUCUAACUAAUUAUGUAUUGAAGAUUUUUCACACUUGUGUCAUAAAGUUCUACCUUAAGAUAAUAAUGCUACCAAAACUUCUUAUAAACCAGAUAAAUUGAUGCACACAAUAUGUAUGACGUACCAUAUUAUUGAUGAUUGUCAAAAUUAAUAGAAUGAUUCAUUAAGGUGAAUUUGAUAAUUAUUUAAUCAUAUGAAAAUUUUUUGAACAUUUAAGGUACAAACCUGAGAAGACAUCUUGAAAAUUAAUAUAAUCCAUACAAGAAAAUGUUCAAUCUACCAUUAUCAUAUCGAUUAAAAAUAUAUUGUCAGUCCGAGGAAACAACAUCACAUAUGGGUUGGCAUGUAAAAUAUAUGAUGUGAGUCCUUUACAUGGUAAGACAUAGAAGCAUGGUAAGACGAUAUACAAUUAAUUUUAUCAUCUAAAAUAGUUUUCUUUAAUAAAUUUCAACACUUUACUCCAGUAAUUUUACUCUAUAUUAUUAUUUUUUGUAAUUACAUAUUAAUAACAGUUAUUGAUUGAAAUUAAUUUACAAAAGAAGAAAUCUUUCUUAAAUUUAUUAUCUUAUAAAUUUGUUUCUUUUUGUAAGUAAUAAGUACAAGAUAUAUUCAUUAUUAAAAGAAAUAGAAUCGGAGGUUAAUAGAAAACUAAUACUUAAAAAGAAAAAAAAAUUGUAUGUGUUCAAAUGAAACGAAACAAAUCUCUAUUUGUGAAGUAUGAAAAUAAUAAAUUUUGAUGUAAGGAAAUAAAAAUUUGAUUACAUGAAAUAAUUAAGUUUAAAUAGUGACCAACAAUAAUAGACCAUGUGUCUUAGUAGUCCUUGAUUUUAUCUAUUAGACUAGUUGAAAAAAUUCAACAUGAUUUAAUCCAAGUAUAUAUAUAUAUAUAUAUAUAUAUAUAUAUAUUAAAAAAUCAACAUUUUACUGGAUGAAUUCAACAUUUCCAUCGUACAUUGUUUAAGGCUCACACAUAUACUAUACUUAUAUAUAUAAAAUAAAUAGUUAUAUAAUUAUAUAACACGUUUUUUAUAGUAUUCGUUUGUAGCAAAUAACAUUUCAUUAAUCCUGGACAAGUAAAGUAAGAAAAGAAAAAGUCUAAAGCUACAAAAAGGUGAACCGAUAUUUACUUUGGCAUGUCUUUGUUUUAUGCAUUUCUAAGAACUUUCCAUUGGCCUGAAGACUCUCUGCUCAUCUUAUCUCUGAUCAAUCUAUUUCCUCGCAAAUACCCAUCUUUCAUCGGACACGUCGGGGUCGGGUAAUACUUUUUCUAUCAGUCCAACGACAUUAUGAAAAUCUACAUUUCCUUGUAUCUUCUAAUUGUUAUGAUUAAUUUUUUUCUAAUUUUCCAGCCAAAUGCCAUGAUGAUUCGAAAGAAGUCCCGUCGUGUUUUGUUGUUUCUCGCCAAGAUUUGUCAUUUCGUAAAUAAUUUUGGUAGAUCGAUCGAAUAUAUAUAUGAUCACUAAUUCACUAUGUAAUCGACUUGUUAAACAUGUACAAAAGAUAAUUAUUAAUAUAUAAGAUUUUCAGGUGGCCAUGAAUAUCUUAAUAUAUGUAUUAACAAUUACAAAUACUAUACAUGAAUCUUCCUUCACUUAGUUGUCAAAUUUUUAAUGUGUCCUUACUCUUUAGAAUGCUUGUGCCGACCACGUAAAAAUGUCGGUCCAAAUACGUAAACAAUAUUUAGGUAAAAUGAAAUAUAUUAUCACUUUAAACCACCUAAUAUGUUUUCAAAACCAAAAAAAAAAAAAAAAAAACUAUAUUAUUACGAACAACUCCAACGCACCACACAACACACCAUAAUAAAGCCAAAUGCCAAAAGACUAAGAAAACACAAAUAUAUCGAAAUAUGAUUUAUUAAUUUAUAACGUAGUCAAAUUAAAUAUACGAAACCGACAAAAAUAUCAUUAACCUCAAUAAUGCAACACGUAACAACUGUACUCAACAGUAGCAUCUCCGUUCUUGAGAUUAAUCCACUUUGUCCUAGCCUCCACAUAGCCUCUAGCAAACCGGAAAAGCCCACUUCCUCCGACGAUCGGCAUCUCUCUGACUUCCGACAUCGCCGUGUUCCGACCAAGGAUGGUGAUCGUGCUUCCGUUAUAUUUCCCUGUCUUGAAAGCAAAGUUCAUGGCCAUCAGGAAUCCCAACUCCUUUUGUGCCGCUCCGGCGUAGAACCCUUGAGCCUGUCCCAAAACGGUGGAGUUCAUCGGAACUUUCGCGGUCAAAGCGUUGUCGAUCAUAGAGAUGGCUCCGAAGUAGGAAGAGUUUGUAACCGGUGGCUGGAUCAUGAUGGAAGUUGGGUUUGGACCGCUUAAGAUGUCGUGCCAAUAGACUUUGAAAUGGGUUAGCUUCUCUUUUCUAUGGAGACCGAGAAGUUUACGGUCCAUGGUUCUAGCGAAGUCUUCGCCGUCUCCGGCAGAUGCAACAACUGCGAGGAGAAGGAUUUGGAGAGCGAAGAAGAAAAUGAGUUUAGCCAUGUGUUUUGUUUGUGUGGUUUCGAUCGGUACCUCUAUGGUUUUAUAUAAACGGUGUAGAGAACAAGAAGGUAUAUCAUGGUAUAUAUAUAAUGUCGAGUUUGUUUAGACAUCUUUCUAGAACAAUAGUAUUUUAGAUUAUAUAAUAGUGGAUUCGUUGAUUUUGUGAAUUAGUUAAAGAAAAUAUUGACUAGGGAAUGGACUAGUUUUUUUAAAAAAGUUUAUAAACAAAAGUUAAAUUCCAAUAAGUGUGAGAGGUUGAUGUGUAUUGGCAUACAUGUGUGAUAAUGCGUGUGAAGAAGUAUCAUAAUCAUUGCGUCAUCGAGUCGUAUGAUUUACGGUGAAGUCAUUCUCACAAACUUCUUUUUUGUAUAUAUAAAAUAUCACCUUUGUAACACGAAUAGGUAGUAAUCAUACAAUCAAAAUUAUCAUGGUAAGUGUUAAUUAGUUUUUCUAUUACGAUAAUUCGCAUUAUUCUUUUAAAUUAAGCAUAAUUUGAAUCAUUAUGGUGGACUGGUCCAUUAGGGAAUUCAAAAACAAAAAAAGAAAUGUUGAAUAUUUCAGUUUUCUUUUUUAGUUGGUAUCAUAGGGUUAUGGUGGCUAUCAUUUUCCUGAAGGUGUGUUAUGUAUCACGCUUUUGCUUUAUUCGAUUUCUUUUUGUUUUCUAAGAAAAAGUUGGCAUUAAUUCCAUUCCGAUCUAUGCUUUUUGUAUAGUGUAAGACAAUGUGAACUCCAUUCCUAAAAGGCUUAUAUACUAUGAAGUUAUGAACCCUUUAAUACGCAAGAAAAGCUAAACGAAGUUGUCGUAGUUUACCUACCAACUUACCAACUACAGUCUACGACUACACAGUGUGUGUAUGUAUAGUUUGUGAAAUGCUUGACUUUAGAGGGCGUGGCCUGACUUCAUCAGAAAAUCCCAUCGGCAUGGUCUCAGUCUUCCACUUUACCCUUGUCGUGGAACCCAUCGCCCCUCCAUUCCGUACGUUCAAACAAAGACUUAUGUUUCAUUUUCGUUUUUUUUUUUUUUUUUUGUGAUAUAUAAAUAAUAGGGUAUGAGAACCGUAGAUAGUUUAUACUAUUUUUUCACGUUUUGUGGGAUUAAUUUUAAAGAAAUUCUCCUGGAUAGCAUGUUUUAAGUUUUUUUUUUUUCCAAAAAUACCACAAAAGAUUUAUUUUUUUCCAAAAUAGCAUAAACAUAAAAAUUUGAAUUUUGAAGAUGUAGAUUUUUUUUUUUUUUUUAUGUUUGGGUUGACUAUUUACAUUUAGGGUAUAGCUUUUAGGGGUAGGGAGUAGUGUUUAGGAUUUAGAAAUUAGUUUUGAAUGUUAAAAAUUUAAGUUUUAGUUUUGCCCAAAAGAGAAAAAAGUUUAAGUUUUGAAUGUUAAAAGUUUAAGUUUAAAUACCCAUUUUUGUAGUAUUUAAGAGAAUUCACCUGAUUUUAAAGCUAAAUUUGUUAAGUAAAGCGUUUGGAAUAUGUUAAAGAGAGACACACUUUUCUCUUUUAAUAUAUGUUUCUUUUCGUGAGAUCCACGUAAGAGAAAAACACUUUUACUAGAGACUAUAAUUAUUAUGACACAUUGAAGAUCUUAUAUAUUCUGUUUUUUUUUUUUUAUACUGUCUAUUUAAGUUGCCAUUUCCAUUAUUCUUUAGCAACUUGAAAUAUACGUUUGGUAUCAAGGUUAUACAUAAAUUUAUAUAACUGCUAACGAACGAUGAAAGCGCAACUAUAUUUUACUAGACAUACAGUAUAUGCAAGUUCAAGAGAAUUAUUUAUAAAUGAUAAAUCAAAUAACGUGCGUUAAAGAAAAAUUCAAUUUGUUGGAAUUGUUGUAAGUUUAAUGUUGACUUUUGAGAUAGUCUAGAAGCAUUGACUUUCGAGGUGUAGAUGUUUUGUAAUUUAAAUUCCGAAAACAUUUCACACUCUAUAGGUUUAAACAGUUGAGUAGGUGUAUGUUUUUUGGGUCGGAUACACAAGUCAAAAUCUUAAACAUAGUAAUUUGGAACGGUGAUUUUCUUAACGAUUACUACUGUAAUAUACUAGUUAUGUUUUGAGUCUUUUGACAUUCUUAUACGAAAUAAUUUGGUUUCUUUUUUUAGUAAUGAUCUUAAGUAGACUUAAUUCCCUUAUUUAAACUUAGGGAGAUAGGAUCCUUGGUUUAUGAAACUUAGGUUAGAGAAGAAAAAUGUCAUAUAAUCAUUUCAACAUCGGAAGAGAAAUAAUGAAAACCCUAAUUAAGAGAAGAAAAAAUAAUUUAAAACUAUUUCUCAUGAUCUUGUUGUCUUGUUGACAUAGACAUUUUAAAUUUGAUGAGUGAAAGAUAUAUAAAACAUGCUGAACCUUAGCUCCAUACCAUUCCCACAUGUCUAGGUUUCAUCUGGUAGAGCAUCUCUAUCCAUGAGAUACCAUUUAGGUUUCUCAAAAAAAAAACAAAAAAAAAACAUUAACAUUUUAAUUACAAAAAGAAAAAUUGAACCAGUAGUGAAAACAAAUAAAUUGUAAGAUAGAGAAGUGAGAUGAGAUUCUUAAUAAAGAACUUUUAAAAUCUUAAUUGAUUUACACACUUGCAUAUUAUUAUUGAUUACUUGUGUAUUUUAAAUAUAAAAUUAUUUAAGUAAUUAAACUAAAUUCAAAUACUAAUAUAUUAAUAUUUAGAUACUCAAAGUCUCAAAGGUUGGAAGUCUUGGAGAUGCUAAAAACUAUAAAAGGAUCCCAUCCAUAUGUAACUUCAAUUUCUUUCUAUUUUAGAAACAUUAUUGGGCUUUUAUUCGAUUUAUAUUCAUGUAAUUUAGGCCCAGCAAGCCUUUUUAAUAAUUUAACGACGCCGUUUAAGGAAGUUUCUCUCUCUGAUUAGAUAAAAACAAAAAAUAAUCAGUCGACUAGAGAAAGCUCGGGAGAUUCUCCGGCGAUACCUCCUCCGCCUCUGGACGUCCGAAUAACUUAGUUUACCGAUUCCCUGUCAACGAGACAAAGAUUUUGUUCAAAGUUUUAGACUUUAGAGUUUCUGCCUGAACCAAAGAUCAGCUCGAUUUAGGGUUUUUUUUUUUCUCUCGUUACUUUCGAGUGUUAUGGAGAAUCAUGAAUCAGACGAACCGAUGCAGAAGAAGCCUCAUCUUCUAGACUCCGUUUCUCCGACUUCCAUGGCCCGUAAUUCUUCACCUUCUCAUCCCAUCGCUAAAAGUGUAAGUUUUUUCUCCCGACUGAGAACUUCUCGCUUAUCGGUUUAAGCCCAUUAAUUGAAUACUUCGAUAGGGUUUUUCUAUACAAUGAGGAUGAUGCUGUGAAUUUGAGAAUGAGAUGUGUACUUGAAAUCUAGUUGCAGUGUCAGAAUGAUGCAAAUUUAGGACUAUGCAAGUGUUAGUUUCUAGGUGCAUGUUGUUUACUUUUGAGUGUGUUUUUGUUUGUUUGUUUAGGUUGAUGCAACCGCUCUACAGUUUCAGAAUCAGAAACUUGUCCAGCAAUUAGACCUGCAGAAGAAACAGCUAUACGAUGUUGAAACGAAGAUCCAAGAGUUGCAAAUCAACCAAACAUCUUAUGAUGAUGAACUUCUCUCAGUUAACCGGCUUUGGAAUCAGGUCAGCAAUUACCUGGUUUUCAGGUGGUCGCGUUCCUUUAUGUCUUUAUAGAACGGCUAUUUGCAUUGUUUAAUGUUUAACUCAGAGUGUCUAUGGUUUUAUUUGUGCUUUCCGACGACUUAGUUGGUAGAUGAUCUGAUAUUGCUUGGAGUUCGUGCCGGGGCUAAUCAAGAGGCUCUAAACUACUUGGACACUGUAGAUAAAAAGCGAGGUAUUAAUAAGAUUUUCCCUCUUCGUUAAGUAUAAUAGCUGCUUACAUUUUCGUAACAGUUAAGAUAUCUGUUUCCAUGUAAUCUAGGUUCAGUUCCGCCAUGCCCUGCUGAUGAAACGUUUCUGUGUAGACUUCUGCAAGUAGAUUCCUUAGAUACCAGAAAUAGUGAUGAGGUAUUAAGAAAGGUUGAAGAAGCUCUUGCUUUGCGUCACUCCUCUACAAUGGAGUUGAUGGGACUCUUUGAAAACACCAUUACUACACAGAGGUCGAAAGCUGAAAGCAUAUCACAAAAUUUACAUGCUGCAAAAUCGGCAGAAGGUUGGUUUGUGUGCGAAUUAUCGAUAUCAUUUUAUCUUUUAACGGCUAUAGACAAUUUACAGACUUCUUUUUUCAGAUGCCGCCCUCCAGUUGUCUAACAUUAAUGAUUUGUUGAAAGAGGAGGCCACAAACUUGCGUGAGAUGAUUGAUGCUUUACAUGUGAGGCACAAAGAACAUACUGAGCAGAUUCAGGCAUACAUAAGCAGCCAUUCAACAGAUCAGUCCGAGCUUAAACACCUGAAAGGUUAUAUAUUUCAUAAUUCUAGACAACAUGAUAAAUUAGCUGUUUGUUUCUAUAAGCGUAGCACUUUUCCUUUUUGAACGCUGGAACGGGGAUGUAAGAAUUUAUGUUGAUUAGCCAUGGUAGCAUUUCAUAAUUGCUCUCUGAGUAUUGAGUAUCUUUGAUUAUUAAAGGUCAAUUGGAAGAGAUCAAGGCUGAGCUUGAAGAAAAUAGAAGAAAAUUGAUAAAUAAAAUCCAGAAGGAUGCUGCAUGUGAAGGUCAUGUAACACCACCAGCAAUAGCUAAUGGAAGCCUUUCUCCUGAGAAGCCUGUUGACAAGAAAAAGUUGCGUGAAUUGAAGGACUCAAUUGAUGAGAUAAAAGUAAAUACUCGUUGGUAAACUUGUUCAUGUUUCCAUUUUUUGUUCUUCUUCCCCACGUCUAAGCUUAGAAUGUUUUUUGAAUAAUUACUCUAGAUAAUGGCAGAAGGUCGUCUGUCUGAACUUCAAGCCGCACAAGAGUAUAAUCUUUCCCUGUCAAGACAAUGUCAAGAUAUUGAGGUAUACUUAUAGAAUUUAGGGAAAAGGAUAUUUCUAAGAGCAAUAGUUGCAGUUAACAAUGAUAUGUUUUGUUUACUGGAUGUAGAAUGAGCUAAAGGAUGACCAGUAUAUAUACUCUUCUAGACUGUAUAGUUUGAUCAAUGAUCAACUUUAUCACUGGAAUGCUGAACUGGACCGAUACAAAAUUCUGACUGAGGCCAGUCAGGUCAGCAUCUUAUUCAAGUUACCGGUGUUUCUCUCCCUCACAAGUGAGUGAAUAUUUCGUCCAUCUUUUUCUAACCUCUGCUUCAGGCUGAAAGGUCCUUCGUAAUGAGACGGGAUAAGGAACUAAAUCUAAGGGCAGAAUCCCUGGAAGCAGCUAGCCAUAAGACUACCAUUGUUGGUUCUAGAAUUGAGGUGCUGGAACAGAAGCUGCAGAGUUGUAUAGUUGAAAAGAAUGGAUUAGAGCUUGAAACGGAAGAAGCUAUUCAGGAUUCUGGUGAUGUUCAAUCCAUUUCAGUACUCAUUGUCUAUGUAACGCUUUACAUUCCUUCUCUUAAGAAGAUAUAUUCCAUGUUUCAGAGCGGCAAGAUAUUAAAAGUGAGUUUAUUGCAAUGGCAUCAACCUUAUCUAAGGAGAUGGAAAUGAUGGAAGCACAGCUGAAACGGUGGAAAGACACUGCACAUGAUGCUCUUUACCUGCGUGAACAAGCUCAGUCGCUGAGAGUUUCGUUAAGUAACAAGGUUCGAACGCAACCACAGUUUCCUUAAGUAACAAUGUGGAAUCUCUUUUCCUUGUAUAUACAAAUGCUUGGCUUCUACUAUAUUUUUCUUUCUAUUGGACUGCUCCCUGAAAUAUUGAUUUUCUCUUGCUAACAAAGGCAGACGAACAGAAGGGUAUAGAGGAUAAAUGUGCCGAACAGAUGGCGGAAAUUAAGUCUCUCAAGGCUCUAGUAAGUUUUCUUUAUGUCCUGAAACCCAUCUUCUCGAUUUUUUUUUUUGGUAAUUACGAGGUUCUUCUGCUCUAUUUACAGGCCUCUCUCCAACUGUAUCGUAGGCAAUUAGCUCAUCCGCAUGCUUAGUCAUUUUCUCUUUAGGAAUUCAUGGAUACUAAAACACCAGAAAAUUUAGCAGUAAGAGUCUGAAUGUCAAUUGUAACUUUGCAGAUUGAGAAACUUCUGAAAGAGAAAUUAGAGCUGCAAAAUCUAGCAAGCAUUUGUACUCGUGAGUGUAAUGAUGAAAGGUAUGUGACCAUUUGAGUGUAUUUGAGCUCGCCAAUUUUUGUUGAAAAUAUGAAGUUUGUGCUUUUCACUUUCAGAGGAUUGGCAGAAAUCAAGGAAUCACAACGGAAAGCCCAAGCGCAGGCUGAAGAGCUGAAAAACGUUUUAGAUGAACACUUUCUUGAAUUGAGAGUGAAAGCUGCUCAUGAGACUGAAAUUGCUUGCCAAGAAAGGCUUGCUACCGCGAAGGCUGAAAUUGCUGAAUUGAGGACUCAGUUAGAUCUUUCUGAGAGGUAUACUCUCUUUUGUUUCCAUAUCCAAGGCCAUUCAUCUUAUUCUUUUCACAGUUGGGGGUAUUAAUCAUUAUUAUUUGCAGGGAGGUUUUGGAACUUAAGGAGGGUAUUAAAGUUAAAGAGCAGGAGGCAGAGGCAUCCAUUGCUGAAAUGGAGGUACCUUGCAAUCACCCUUCUGCCCUUUCUUUCUCAUGUUGAUGUUCUCAAGGAGUGUAUUAAAUUCUAAAAGUAAAAAAUGUGCAUGUGUCUCAUCAGUAAUUUGUUUGUCUAGACUAUUGGUCAAGCCUAUGAAGACAUGCAGACACAGAACCAAAAUUUGUUGCAGCAGGUGGCUGAGCGGGAUGAUUAUAAUAUCAAGGUAAGUGUGUUAAUAGGCCAUUUUGAUGUUGAGAUACGGGUUUUUACCCUUUUUUCAAUUCCAACCUUUGGCUUUAAUUCUAUCUGGCCUUUGAAUACAUCGGUUGUAGAUUACCUGUUUGAUCUAUAAUGCCAGCUUGUUUCCGAGAGCGUCAAGACAAAGAAUGCUUAUAACACUCACUUAUCUGAGAAGCAAGUAAUGGAAAAGCAGCUCCUACAAGUUAAUGCGUCAGUUGAGGCUCUAAAAGCAAGGAUUGCACAUAGUGAGGAACAGGUUGGAAGCUUUCUCGUUUGUAAUUUUUGUAACUCUCUAUAACUCAUGAGUGUCAUUUACUAAUGCUCUGAUGUUUUUGCAGAUGAAAAGCUGUUUUUCUGAGGCUUAUAAAUUGAUUCAAGAAGAUCGUCACCUCGCUCUCAGCCUCGAAACCACCAAGUGGGAAGUAGCUGAUGCUGACAAGGAAUUCAGGUGGCUGAAGUCGGCUGUUUCUUCAUCCGAGAAGGAAUAUGAACAGAUAUGUAGGAGGACAAAAGACAUCAUAUUGGAACUGGAUGAUGACAGGUGGACCUGAAAGCAGAUCUCUUGUUUGAACUCAAUAACUAUUUUAUGACGGAUUGAUAUGAUUUCUAUCUACUGAGCAGGAGGGAGAAGAAGAAGCUUGAGGAAGAGUUGAUGGAGUUGAACAAGGAGCUUGAAGAGUUGGGUUCUGAGAGUGUAGAAGCUGCAAUAGUGAGACUCCAGGAAGAAGUUAAGAAUUGCAAAAACAUCCUCAAAUGUGGCGUUUGUUUUGAUCGGCCUAAAGAGGUAACAGUGCUCAUAACAAUCCUAUAUCUUACCGUCAAGGCAGACAUAAUGAUUUGACAAUCCUUUCUCAUCACUGUCAUAAUCAUCAUCAAUAGUCAAAUGUCGCGCAUCAUAAAAAAAUCGUUUUGAGAAGAUAUCAACAACUUCUUUUAAUCUUUCAAACAAUAUUGCAGGUGGUAAUUGUGAAAUGUUAUCAUCUCUUCUGCCAGCAAUGCAUCCAACGUAGCUUAGAGAUCCGACACCGGAAAUGUCCAGGCUGCGGUACCGCCUUUGGCCAGAGUGACGUCCGGCUUGUCAAAAUGUAACCGAGACAUUUACCACAUGCACAUGGUGUUGGUACAUAAGUACAUAACACACUUAAUCAAGGUCCACACAAUCUCAUCUCCCUUGCCACCCUUGAAUAACAUUGUAAGAUUGUUAGUUAGAUAUAUAUUAUAUAUUGUAUCGGUAACAACACCGAAUCUCUGGUUAUUUCCAGCUAAGAGAGUGAUGAGAAAUUAGGUGGUUAUCUUUAUGGAGAAAGUGUAGGUUUUAGGUAAGUGACAGUCGUGUUUGUGUUACCUCCAUUUAUGCCUUCGUUUUAUGACAUGGGGACCGACAAAGACAUCAUCGCAAAUGAACGGAGAUAGUUUAGUUUUGUAUUUCUUUUUUAAAGACGACCUAAAGAAGUAUGCUGUCUAAAAAAACUGAUCCAAAAGCUGGUGGAUUAUAGUGAAACUCUUUUAUAAUUAGGAUAUGUAAAGUGAUGUUUUGUGAGCUCGUACUGUAUUGUUAGGUAGGGAUAGUGUCUUUAGACAAAGAUACCUAAUGGACUGGUGACAUUUAUGGCUUUAAAUUGCACAUGAAGAUGAUCUAAUAUCUUAUCUAACGAUAAUCAUUGUAGUGUUCUUUUGAUUAAGAAAUGUUGAUAUGACUACGCUUAUAGUUUUUGGUUAGUACUGUGAGAUAGACAUAUGGGCGUAGUGUCCUCUUGAUUGAAAGGAUUGGUCCGUAUAUAGCUUUGGGUAAUUGACUCUUAUGGGCGUAGAUAUUUACUAAAAUUGGCUCAAUAUAUAUAUUUUUUUCUUUUUUUUAGUUCAAACGGUAGCUCAGUAUAACAAAUGGUAAAAGAGUUACUAAACUUUUGUUACUAAAUUUCGUGUCAACUUAGAUUUUAAAAGGUAACGUACAAAACAAUUACGGGAGAAGUGCGAUGCCGUUCUAAUAGUAACGAAAAUACUGUACAAUACCGUCUCCAUUCGGAAGUAUUACUCCCAUGACUCGCAGACGUGUCUGAAUUUGAUAAAACCUCGAAGAUUAGGUACAUACAUUUACAUCAGACAAAAGACAAACAAACAAAAGAAACUAUUAUAUUAAAAAUAAAAGAGCAGAAACUAAACUUCGUGACAGCCAUGGUACUACACUUUCUUUAAUUAUAUACAAUAUUGCAUUUUAGAGUGUUGUUGUAUACAUGUGUACUAGUUUUUUUUUAUUUUUGUGCAAACAUGUGUACUAGUUUUUAUAUAUAUAUAUAUAGGUGUCAGUAAUCUAAACUGAAAAGACAUGCAAUAGUUACUUAAGACUUUAGAUGCAUAUAUAAAAAUAGGCAUAUGAGUUUCAAAUAAUCAGGUCAUAAAAACUAUUACAUUAUGGAUUAUCGUGGAUUGUAGCAAGUUUGGAUCAACCAAAGAGAUAUACUGAAAGUGAAUUAAUCCGUUAGGGUAGUUGAACUUCCUAAUAAAUUUCUCCAAUCAAUCAAUAGAUGCAGAGAUUAUAAAAAAAAAAAAUUUAAGUUUAUCAUCUUUUAAUUUCUUCUCAAAUAUAAUGUACCAUUUAGAUUUAGGUAUGUACCCAAAAUUAUAUAAGUGAUCAAAAUCAACCAAAAUUGCAAGCUCUGUAUCUUAUUGUCAUAUAGGGAAAUGGGUACCCUAUCGUUUUCAUGGAUUCUUAUGUUAGACUGUAGGAAAGUUACCAAUUGGCCAAAAUAGAAACUGAGCUAGGAUUUUACAUCCAUAUAUAGCUUUUGUUUAGUUGGUAAAAAAACAAAAACAAAAGAAGAAAAAUUUGUCCCACUAUUACACAAUCCACAUGCAAGAAUAUCACCAAGCUUGGAAUAAACAAAAGUUACUAUUUAAGUUAUUAGAUUUAGCAGGCCAUUUUAUCAAAAGAUGGUUAAAAAAUUUAUUGGCUGAGGUUCCGCAACUUCUAUAGAUAAUACAAAACAAAAUUAUAGCCAGAAAAAGUUCGAGUGGAUUGAAUUAUUAAACAUGACAAUCAUAUGCAUGUAAGAUUGCAUAGUUCCAAGGGCUCGACAACCAUUUAUUGCUCUCAUUAAGUUUUCCCCUUAUCAUUUAUCUAUCAGUCUUACAAAAAAAAUUAUGAUAUUUUAUAGUAUGUGCAUAAUGUAUGGUUCUUCAAAUGCAUGUGAAUAUGUGAUAAUAUAUACUGUUUAGAAAUGUUCUGAUGUGACAUGCACCACCUUCAAUCUCUAUCUAAUUGCAUAGGAUCCAAGUCAUUAUGCAAUAAAUUAGAUAUUUCAUAUUUGGUAUUAAUUUUGACAAGUAUAUCAAAUUCUUUAAGUUAUUGCUUAAUGGCGUCCCCGUUGUAUAUAGUGUAAUAGCGUCCCCGUCGGAGUUGGCCUAACACUCGUAUACAUACAUAUAUAUCAUUACACGUUUAAAAAUGUAUAUAUUAUCUUGAGUACAUAACUAUAAAUGUUCAAAUGUAAUAAAUGAUCCUAUCAUCCAACCAAUACGUCGACACUCAAGAGUGACAUAGCCAUAUAUAUACACGACUAUACAAAGAGAAUAAGCAUACAAGUUUCAAUCUAGCUAACAUUACAUUCUAUCAACACAAAGAUAUCUAUAUAGAAAUCCAGAGAAGACAAACAACACGUCGAACCAUGGAGCACUUAAUAAGAACCCUAAUCAUAACCAUCGUGACAACCUCCAUGUUGCUAGGGUUUGGAAACUCAGAUCUGGCUCAGGACAGAGACGAGUGUACGAACCAACUCAUAGCACUCUCCACGUGUCUUCCGUACGUUGGAGGAGGCGCCAAGGCUCCGACAAAAGAUUGCUGUGCAGGGUUUAACCAAGUUAUAACAAAGAGUGAGAAGUGUGUUUGCAUAUUGGUCAAAGACAAAGAUGAUCCUCAACUUGGUCUCAAGAUUAACGCAACCCUAGCCGCUCAUCUUCCCACCGCCUGCCACAUAACGGCUCCUAACAUCACCGAGUGUAUUUGUAAGUUCUUUUUUUCUUUGUUUUGUCUCUCUCCCUGCUCUCUUCAUGUCUCUCAUUCUUGAAGUUUAUUUUAAAAAAUUUAUAAAGUUUUAUGGUACUUGGUUUUUAUAGUAUGUAUAAGUAUAAGUAACUAUGGAUGUUCUUGUUCGAGUAUCGAGUUCGUAUAUUUUCUAAUUUUCGAGCUUUUUUGGUCUAAUUUUAGAGACCACGUUCUAGGUAUAAUCUAUAGUACAAUGUACAGUUUUAUAAUAAAUAUUAUGAAAAAAUCUUCAUUUUAGAUGUUUAUACUAUAUGAAAAUGACAGAAGCUUUAAAAUAUAUGUCAUGAAGUGUUCUUAGUUUUGAAGGUUUGGUUAUUAUGCAAUAUACAGUAUGUAUACUUCUCUUUUUUUUUUAAACCUUUUUAAUCUAAUUAUGGAUAGAUAUUGAGUAUAUGCCGUAUCUUCAUUUUAAUUGUUAUAUCAUAUUAAAAUGAAAUUUACAGGAAUUUUUGUAACAACAUAUAAAUACUAUACUUUCAUUUGAUUUGAUAUUGUUUUUUGGAACUCACUACGAUUUCUUGUUAGUUAUAUUGUGAAUUUUAAAAUUAAGUUAGCUAACUUUUUUUUGUUACUGUGAAUGGGAAAGCAAUUCUGCAUUUAGCUCGAAACUCAACAUUGGCUAAAGAGUUUGAGAGCUUAGGAAGGAUUGAAGAAAACUACAACAGCACAUCUCCUACACAAAUCCAUAAAGGUAAGUGAACUUAAUUUUAUAUUGAUUAGUUAAUCCGUUAGUAUACUUUAAAUAUUUUUCACGAUAAUUUUGUUAUCUGAUGAUAUACAUAUAUAGUCCCAAGAUCAUAGACCAUAAGCAAGAUCGAUCUAUUAGAGUUUACUGAAGCCAUAUAUAAUUUUGAUGAUAUGAUAUAAAUAGAUGGGACAGGAGGAGGGAAAGCAGAAUCAGUGAAGAGUAAUGGAGGGAAGAAGAAGAAGAAGAGUUGGUUGGGUGUUGUUGAGCUUUUAAUAUUUGCUCAUCUUCUUUUGAUUAUCAUCUCUUCUUUUAUUUAAUGUUCCUUUGCUUUUGUUACAUCUCUUUUAUCUAUCUAUAAUACUAUUAAUCAAUGAGACAGAUCUCACAUGCAUGUGUAAUACACAUAUCUAUGCAUGUAAAUCAUGAGUCACGAAACUUGUAACUUUUUUUCUUCUUAAUUUCACGAAUUGCGUACGUAGUAGUAAAUUUCAUGGAUUUUACCCUACUUGCUCUGUUUUUUUUUUCUUUCUUAUAAGGUUGUAUUUCUUAUUUUUUUUUCUAUAGAAUGAUGAAAAAAUAAUAUAUUCGUUUGUCGUAUUAAGUUUCAACUUUUAGUAUGUUAUGGGUUUAAAAUUAGUACCAUGUCCUAUUCUAUAGAUGUAACGUAACAAUUAAUACAUGUAGCUAGCCAGUCUAAAGAUCAAAAAGUAUAUACAAAUAUGUUUGUCUUUUUCUCAACAAUUUUGUUUAUAAGAUAAAUUAAAACUAUAAAAAAAUUUCUUGAUACGGUUUGGACUAUGGAUUGAUACGAAACAUCUAAGUUUGAGAAUUGAGAGAGUUGUUAGGCCAAAAUUAAAAGCUUUGGUUUUCAAGUUGCCAACUCCGGAGAAACAAAUGUAUGAAACCAAAUUUUACAUAAUCAACAACAAAUUAAAAUUAAAUGGCAUUUACAUCGUAGUUGAUGAAUUAUAUAUAUUUUCCUUCUGAGUUCUGAUCAUCAAUAUUCUCUGCAACACAUCAGGUUCACACAUUUCUAAAACCACAUAAAGAAAAAGGGAUUGAUUUGGACUUAUUCUCUUAUAUAUAUCGAAACGAACACUUGACUUAACCACACACACAUCGUGCAAAUCUUGAUCUUAAAUCAAAUAAUAUAUAUAUAGCUUUAUUCAAGUAUAUCAUUUUCAACUUUUAAUAACAAUUAUGCAAUUUGAUCAUUAACCAUAAUAUAUUAUAUAUAUAUAUAUAUAAAUCUGAUGGGUGAUUUUAUCAUAUUCAUCAAAAUAAAAGUUAGUAUGAAUCCGGGCAUUGGGUAACUCAUGGGGUCUUUCUAGUUCGGCCUACAAUGAUAUCCACAAAAGGCCUACUCUAUGAAAGCCACAAUAGGCCCAAUCUAUCUAAGCGUGUACCACGCAGCAACAAUUUUAAUGAUAUUAAAUACACGUGGCAAGUCAAACUACAUUAUACUAAAACAGAGUCAAUUCCUAAUAUACCCUCAACGUUUUUGUUAUAUUACGCCCUCUCUUUAUCGCAGUGUCAUUCAUUCAUUGACCAAUGGCUUCUUCUUCUUCGCUCACACUCUUCUUCUGUCUCUUCUUCAUCUCUCUCUUCUUGUCUCUCUCCUCCUCCCUAAAUCCCCGCCGUCCGAUCUCAUCUCGAUCCAACGGCAUAGAUCUUUUCUCUUCUCGAAAUCUCGACCGUCCAUCUCUCACCGCCGAUGACAUCCACGAUCUUCUCCCUCGCUACGGAUUCCCCAAAGGUCUUCUUCCCGAUAACGUCAAGUCGUUCACUAUCUCCGACGACGGCGAUUUCACCGUUGACUUGACUUCUCCUUGCUACGUCCAUUUCUCCGAUCAACUCGUUUUUUACGGCAAGAACAUCGCCGGAAAACUCAGCUACGGGUCUGCUAGAGACGUCCGUGGGAUCCAAGCUAAAGAGGCUUUCCUUUGGUUGCCAAUCACCGCCAUGGAAUCUGAUCCAAGCUCUGCCACGGUUGUGUUCUCCGUCGGAUUCAUAUCCAAGACUUUACCGGUUUCCAUGUUUGAAAACGUUCCGUCUUGCUCAAGAAAACUGUAUCUUCAAGACUCUUGAAAUCCGCCUGAUUGGUCGAUUCCAAUGUCUGAAUAUGUAUUUCAAUUAAUUUGCUUUGUUCAUAAGUGUGAUAUUUGAACCUAAUAAGAUUAUGUUACAUUGCCACCGAAAGAGGUUUGAGACGAAAGAUUUAAAAUUUACAGAUCACAGAAAACAAAAGUGUCAACAAAACGCUAUAACAAUUACCAAAACCGAUUAAAGAGAUUCCUAUAAAUACUAACACAGAUUUAACACCAGAAGAAAUGGUGAACAAAUGUUAACCCACCUCACUCACUGUCUCUUGGCUCUCUCCUCUUCGUAUCUCAUAUGAUCUUGUUAAGACCGGACAUGAGUUCUUGUCAAUGGUGAUUGUGGAGACGAUUCCUCAUUUGUAUUACUCUGGAACAGGUCUUGAGCCAGAUUUUUUGCUUUUUCCUCCUCUUCUUGGAACCUCAAGGUGGUUGGUUUCUUCUGACCAGAGUUUGACUCCAUUGUUGAGUUUCAGAUUUCUUUUGUCAAGCUUGAAGCACUUGACAAUGCACAAUAUGGCUCUUCAAAGCUCUCCCUGCGAUACUCGACCAUAUAUUACUGAGGAUGUUCUUGGACUGUCCUUUUACGGCUAUGUUUUCCCACAGUCGAGGGUUGUUCUUGUCUGGAUUCGAGACAUCAACCAGACUCAUGCUCAUGUUGUUCCGGAUUAUACAAAGCUUAUUGUUUAGAGGAACAAGAGCCGCAGCUUCAAGCGACUUUGAGUUUCCCAAAUGAACUUUACUGUCCAUGAAUUUGUUCCAUGAGUCCGCGGUUUCAUCAAAUACCCUGAGUUUGCAUCCGUCCCUACAAUCCAGUCCGUAAAGGCGACCAUUCAGAGAAGUACAUGGAUUUCGCCAACCAGCAACCAUCCCAUCACUAACCGGGCUCCAUGAGUUAACUUCGGGGUCAUAAGCUUCACUCAUGACUAGUUGGUGAGACCCAAGACCCUUGAGAAACCACUUUUUAUCAUAGACCACACCGAUAAGAGGCACCAUUGCUGUGCUCAUAUCAGCAAUAAAACUCCACCUGUUCUUGUUUGGGUCAUAAACCUCAGCUGAGCGGAGUGUCCUCUGAAUCCCUUCACACUCCCCACCCGCAACAUAUAAACAGUUGUUAAUGACACAACAACCAAAGAAAUGGCGCUUCCUAAGCAUAUCGGGUGCCCUGUGCCACUUAUUCGUCCUUGCAUUGUAGAAAAUAACCCUUCUCAUGGACCCUCUAAGAGGAUCUUUACCUCCAAACAAAUAAAGAUGACAACCGCUCAAAACAGCGCAACCAAACCCAACAGCCUCUGAAUACUCUCUGGGAACUGGUGGAAGCGGCUGCCAAAUCUGAGAGCUUGGAUCAAACGUAUUCCACGAGAUCUUCCCGUCGCGAUCUCUCUUAAAAACAUAAACCCAUUCCUCGGACAUCCCAAGUAGCUUCCUCUGAGAGUAAAAGAAGUUGCCAGAAGCAAGCCUGUACCAUCGCUUACACACCUGCCUGAGUUUUCUAUGCUCAGCACGAGGGACACGGAUGAGGCAAGCAACAGCAAGAUCGUCAGGGAGGCCAGGGAGAAGAGGAGGUUGGAUUCGAGUCCUCUCCCUCUUAGAAUUCUUACGCCUAUGAGCAUUGGGAUUGAUAUCAGGUUGAAUACAAAGCUUUGAUCCAGGAACAAACUUCCUCGCUUCUACUACUGUCUUAAGACCAGAAUCCACUCUACAAUAGCAAGAAACAGAAUCCACCUGCAAAAGAUACUCCAAUCUCAGAAAUCUAUAAAAAAACAAAACAUUUUAGGGCAGGAAAAAAUAGUCAGAAACAGUUUGAGGAGUAGGAAUGAAGAAACUGCCAAAUUGGGACUAGGGUUUCUGAAAAAGGAAACAAAAUUGAAGGAAUUCAAAGCACAAUCAUCAUUUCAAAGUCUAAACAUUUCCCAGAAAAAAUUAAAGGUUGUAUCUUUCGAAACGAACCAAUGGAAACGAGAAAGGAAGUUACCAAUGGAGCUUGGAGACGAAAACCCCUAGAACCAUUUGGGGAUUGACGUUGAGAAGAUAGAUCCAUCUUCAAAAACCGGAGCUCAUAUGUAAGAAAAAGCCAGAAAACAGAUCGAGAAAUUCACACAAACUUGUAAGAAGGCAGACAGAAGAAGAAUCUGAUGGAAACCAAAUGGUCCAAUCUCUCUCUCUCUCUCUCUGACUGUAGCCGGAGGGAUUAGAGGGAAAACGUGAACAACCUUCCACUUCGCUCUCUCUACACGGAAAAAUGGGACUGGUAGGUCUCUCUNNNNNNNNNNNNNNNNNNNNNNNNNNNNNNNNNNNNNNNNNNNNNNNNNNNNNNNNNNNNNNNNNNNNNNNNNNNNNNNNNNNNNNNNNNNNNNNNNNNNUCGUCUCUCUCUCUCUCUCUCUCUCUCUCUCUCUCUCUCUUCUCUUCUCUCUUUCUUUCUUUAACUCAACAAGAAGAAGUAAAAGCUUUGGUAGUAGCCGUAUUAAUAUUAAUACUAACAUUUAAUCUAGUGUUUUUAUUUUUCGGUAAUUACAGAGAAUCUAGAGUUUUAUUGAACGUAUGAUUAAAUAUUUAUAUUAUUAUCGACCUUGAAAAAUUAAUGGAGCCAGUAAAAUACUUCUUUUUUUUGGGGGUCAACGUAAGAUUUUUUUUAACACAUUUAAUUUACAUAAACUAUGAUAUAUAUAUAUAUAUUAAUCCCUAUAUAUAUAUUUUAUUAUGUAUUUUAAUUAUAUUUAUAUAUAAUCAAUCACUUAUUUAAGGGAGAAACUAAAAGAUUGUGAAUGAUUAUUUACCGGUGGAUUUAGUUUAUGUCAAUGGGCUAACUUUUUGUUGAAAAGUGUGGUGAACCGAAGAAGUUUUAGAUUUGGUAUUUGAAAUAUUUUAAGAUGAUUCAUUUCUAAGUUCUAACACAUAAUUAUUAGGGAAUUUCGUAUUCGAUGAAAUUGAAAAGUCAUACUAAUCGUCAAACUUAUAAUGUAUAUGUGUUCCAUUAUAGUAAAACCGUUGUACUUAAUUAUUAAUUAAAAGACGGAAUCUAUCGUCAGAAAUAGUAUUAGUUGUUUGGACAUCAUCAAAUUACGCUAAUUGAUUGUGCCUUACGAAUGGUAUGUUUGGACUAUCUCUAUAUAGUAUUAGUAUUAUUUGUAUCCACCGUUUUUAUUCAUUUAUAAAAUUUAUAAAUUGUAAAUCAAAUACAUACAUUAAAUAAUACGUCAAUUUUUCAACCACUUCAUCAAAAAAAGAUUUAAAAAGAAGGGGACGAUUUUUGUCGUAUGGAAUGGGACACGGCAUAUUUUUUCAAAAUAUUAGAUGUAGAAUACAUACAAAAACGAUUUGUCUACCCAUAAUAAUAAUUGAGUUGUAUACAAAAUGAUAUUUAUCAAAAAUAUUCCUUUUUCUCAAACAAGGCAACAAAGAAAACAAAGAGUGUGAGAGGGAGCCAAAUAUAAGUAUUUUGUGUGUGUGUGUGUGUGACAUUGUUGAAUAAUUGAUGAGUAUACGACUAUUAUUAGGCUUAGAAGAAAUUGCCUUGUCUUUGAAUAGGUCUAAGAAAUUGUAGAAAAGCUUUUAGUUGAAAGAAAAAGGAAAACACUCUAAACUAUAUAUAACCUAUAGUUCCAUAAACCCAUAGACUACCUAAUUAAUUUUGCUCUAACUACCAUAUUUUUUUUUUUGCAUCGAUGAUGGUUCGAUACAUUAAAUUAAGAUGGAGAUUUGUUGGAUAUGUUUGAAUUAUAUUAAAUUGGACCCACAAAUUAAAACUCAAAAAUUAAUAUAAUUAAGGUGUUUUCAAUAAAUACUUUUCUAAACCUAUUUUUCAUGUACCAUGAAAUAUGUGUGUUUUUAGUACUAAAAUCUAUCUCUUUAUACUACAAAAAAAACUAUCUCUUUAUCCACGAACAUGUUCAAUAGAAAAUGCGUUGAUAAAACCACAUCAAAUAUGUGUUAUAUUUUUAUUUAUGUUUCUAUUAUCUUCCUUAGUCAUAUAUCAGUAACAAAAAAAUGUUAGAUGAAUGUGUUUCAUUAGAAGUGAUUGUAUAAAGUCAGUAAGUUCUUUCACGCACUUGAUUAAUUAUAAAAUUUAUGUAGAAGAUGAGUUUCUAUGAAUUAUUCGGCAUGUUCAAUAGAUAAUAAAUUAAUAACUAAAAACUCUCCUAUUAACUGUUUAAUUUGUUAUUUUUUGGGUAAAUUAGAGACUAUCAUUAGACCAACAUUAUUGAAGGUAAAUUAGAUCACCAUUAUUGAGAAUUUCUUAAGCAAAUCUCAGCUUAAAAUAUGUUAAAAGAAGCUCUUAUAUAAAAACCAUUUCUUAACAAAGCUUAAUAAGUUUUGCUUAAGAGACCAUCAAGAUUGGUGAUGCUCUAAAUAAGUUACUUGAUCGAAAAAAAGUUAAUAUGGUUAAAGAUGUUUUGAAUAUUUUGAGAUUCUGUAUGCAUGCAAACAAACACAUAAACAUACGGACAAUAUAUCAUUGCUAUAAAAAUGUCAUACAGUACAGUACAAAUACAACUAACAUAAAAUAUGAGUAUGGUUAACCGAACAAAAAUGGCAUAGUUAUUCACAUUUAGCUCAUCCUUUUCAACUAAACCUUACAAAAGAUUUAUCAAAAUAUUCGGUUAUCUCUAGAUACUUAACUUGUAUAGUUUUUAGUAUUCUGACCCCAAAAAAAAAAAAAGGGAAGUACAGUAGAGUUAUAAAAAUAGAAAGGUAAAUGAUGAUUGUCAACCACAAUUAUGCAUGUCAAUGGACCAAUGAUGGCAACUGGCAAGGGUUGCGACUUAAGAGAUGAUUUUUUUUUCAGCAAAACUUUAUAUUCUUAUACAAAUGCAUAAAAGUGAAUUUGACCACAAUUACAUAAACGUAAUGGUAGUUAGUAGUUAUGAUAUUAAAAAAGUGGUCACCAAAAAAAAAGUGUCUAUCUUAAAUUCAGAAAUUAAUACCUUCCCCAUGAUAAUAUUUUCUACCCCUAAUUUCACUUUUAAUCAUAGUCAUGGCUUGCCCAAUUAAUUCUUUGACAAUGACAUUCUACUUAACCCUAAAGAAAACAAACUGAUUUGGUACGCCAUAAACUUUCCUAUACCCUAUUAAUUGAUAUUAUGCAUUCAUUCUUCAAGUAUGUUGCAAACAAAAGGUCAAAGUCAAUAAUAAUACUUUAGAAUUGUAUAUGAAUCAAACUACCUUUGGUGGAUUUAUACCAACCUAGGAUGUAAUGAAAUAAAAUUAUUUCUAAGCUAGAACACAAACUAACCUUCGAAACUAUACAAAUCUGUAACGACUAAUCACAAAAAGAUAAUAAAUUAAGUAAAUACUGAUGAAAGGGUAAAAUGAUGAUCAAUGGACUACCAAUGGAUAAACAAUUUUGUGAUGUAUAAAAACUGAUCUUAUUUUAUAUGAUGUACGGUGGCAGUAUAAAUUACAUGUAUCUCUUAUUUACAUAUACUCUAUUAUAUACAACAAAGUCAUGUACAAACACACGGGCUCUCUUUACGAGUUAAGAACCAUCCUUCAAGGGCUUAAACGCAGCCAAAACAACGGCUACUUUGCAUACAAGAAACCCCAAAGUCCCCACCAAUAUCUCUUUUGGUGUGACUGCAAAUGCAGUAAAAUCUCCCCCAAUGGGACCUCUCAUGGCUAAAACCGUCAAUCCUAUGGCCAAUGCGAGAGUCAAAACCGGAAUCUUGAGUCCUUGGCUUAGUGUCUGAUUGGAGUUUUCGGAUGAAGAAGAUCCCGGUGCUUGCAGUUCAUCAACUGAUCUCUGUAGGAGCAGCAAGUAGAGAAAUCCCAUUGUUCCACCGAAGAAGAAAGCAAUGGCGGAAUUUUCGCCUAGUGAGAAAGCAAAGGCCGAACUUCCAAGAAGGAUGAGAAUGGCAUCGUAGAGAAGCAGAGAGAGUUUCAAGUUUGCAUAUUCUUCCAUGCUUUCCUCAUUGGAUACCGUUGUACGGUCAAGAUCCAAAGCUGUAGAUGAAGAGAUUUGAUCGGAGUCCGUGAGUUCAGUGAUACGGAUAGGUUUUAGCUCCACCAUUGAUAGUUCACUGCUCUCUCCAAGCAAGAUUUCAUCAACUUCAAAAUCGUAUCGGUAACAAAAGGUUUCUGCAUCGGUUUCUUUAGCCCGAGGAUUAACCACCCACAAGUUCACUCCUCCAACUCUCCAUUGACCUAAAUAUGAAAAGCUAAUUCCAUAAUCACAGAAAAAUGAAAGGACUAAUACAAGUUCCAAGUCAAAAGAAACUAACCAGACUCAAGACCGAUCCAAAAAGCUCUGAUUUUGCCGAGUUUUGGUCCUUCAAAUGUGAAUUCAUCAACAGAGCCUCUCUGAAACUUGAAGGUUUCACCAUUUUCCACAACUUCUGGAUCCAAAGAUGAAAAAUUUGCAGGUAUUGUCUGUAACACCGAAUCACCCUUUUCGUCUAUCAAGCAAAGAAGAACCCUAGCAUUCAUGUCACUAAUCCCCGAACCAAACAAAUUACUUGUCUGCAGCUUAACCUUAUAAAGAGAUCGAGUUUCGCUCACAGUGAAAGAUGGGUUCCCUCUACAAAGUUUCACUUCUUCUACUGGUAAGAGACGCAAAGGUCUUGCAUAACUCUGAAAAUCUGAAAGCUAACAGUUUCAGUCAAUCAAAUAGUGCAGAAGUAAACAUCUUGAACAUUCUCAUUUCUUGAAAUUAAAGACCAGAAAAAAUAAAUGUGAACUUGACAUAAAAUUCCAAUGAUUCCAAACCCAUCAGAACCAAAUUAACUGAAAUUUUUGAAUUUGAUCACUAGGAAUUUUACAACAGAGUCGACGGAGACUUAGAAUUGGAGUUACCUUGGUAAUCAGAUGACUUCGAGCAAAUGACACCGAAUCGAUAACGACGAAUUCGACAUGAAAGUUUUAUUCUUUUAGGAAAUUGAUUGAAUUGGUUCGUCGUAAACCUUGCGAAAGGUACGGGCUUCAGACAAAAUGAUUCCGUCGCCAUUGCUGUUGCAACUCUCGCGGUACAUGAGAAAUGCCACACGGCACGGCACAAAGAAGAAGAGAUUGACCGAGGAACCUUCAAGGUAGAGAAACUUCUAACACAGAAAGAGGCUCCACAUUUCAACAGAACCGAGGAUCAAACCGAACCGGAAUCUUAACUCAUGUCUGAUUGCACAAAAUAGACAAUACGGAGUACAGUAGUAAUUUUUAAGAUACUGUAUCUGUAUGAUUGUGUUACGGUUAACUUAACCAAUAUUUAAUCUUAAACAACUUAAACAAGAAUCUUUACCAGAACUUCAUUACGUCGUUUGUAAUCAUAUUUUUUUACCAAAAAGAUCUUUACGUUUGUAUCAUAUAAUAUUAAAGUCAGGCAGUGCCAGAGUUGUGUAUGAUGCUUCAGCUUUAGAGACGAAGAAUAGGCUGAGAUAAUAUUUCCACUCGAGAGCUUUCUCAGCACGAGGACUAUCGUCCCUUACGGCCUUAUCUACAAUUCUACAUUUGUUGACAAAAGACUUGUCUCUUGAGAACUUCCUUUUCUCUUCCACCGGUAAACCAAAGAAUCUAUUAGUAGCUGUUUUCAUAUAUUCAAGAACUUCCAUCGAAACGCCAUAUGUGAUGACCGUUCCCUUUGUGGACGACGAAGUCAGUGACUUCGUCCAGGGUUGGGAAGCAUUGUGUAUUGGUAAAAAAGAUUUGGAUCUUUUGAUACAUAUUUUUUUUUUUCUCAAUGGUUGUUCAUAAAAUUUGUUGUUUGAGGUUGUGAAAGCUUUUGUUAUAAAGAGUUAAAGACUAAGAAACAAGAUGAAUAGAGAGAUCACGACAGCAACUCCUUCGAGGCUCUACGCAUUUUUUUGUUUUGUCUUUUUUGGUAAUGCUUUGUUUUGUCUUUUAUUUCAAAAAUGCCAUUUGUGACAUAACUCGUAUAUAUCAAAUUACAGUACGUAAUGAUGGUAGACAUAGGAAGAGAUGGAGGAAGCUCAUGCUUCUGUGGAUUCGGUAACCUAGAUCCUUGUCAUCUCUUGCUCUCAGGAUUGUAAUCUUGUUUUUAUUCUUUUUGCCAAGAUUACUCUAUCUUUUAGGUACACUUUUUGUAAUGCCUACCUUUCAUUCUAAUGAUAUUUACAAGUUAGCAAAAAAAAAAAAAUGAUGGUAGACAUGGUUGCACGUAUUCAGGAUAGACAAACAGAAUCUUUUGUGUUCUGUACUUCGAAUACAAAUCAAAAUUUUCACUGAACAAAGUUGAAGAAGACAUCAUCAAAUCAUGGGGACAUACUUAUCCAUGAUUUUCUAAGACGGGACUUGCUCAAACUCUAACCUUUUGUAAGAAAAAUCUCUUUAUGUAAUGAGCUCACAUUGAGUCAUCAGAAUCUUCUGAUUCACUUCUCUCCGGCUCAACUCCUGUUGGAUUACUAGUGCCUGUCUCAGGAGCUUCAGGCUUUUCAACAGGUGUAGGUGAAGAAGAAACAAUCUUAUUUUCAUUAGGAGCAUUCUCGUUUACAGCUACUUCCUCUUGCUCAUUUACCUAAGCCAAGAAAAAUGGUCAGAUGAAGGAAGUUACUAAAAUCGAUCUUUAUCCCCAAGACCAGAUGUUGUCACAUCAUGUAUUAAAGUGAAAGUAAUCUUACAUUUUCUACUGUUCCGCCACUCAAGAUAUUCAACAAGUCUCUUUCAACCCGCUGUACAAGCUCCGGCUGCAACGUUUUGGUAAUCAACAUGUUAGUUAAUAGAAAAUACUUGAGAGUUCCACAAGAUAAAGUUUCACUACGAUCAGCUACAUGUAUCAAGAUUUCAAUCACAACUUUCAAUCUAGAUAACCAGAAAUUUCCCAUUCUUUCUUUCUUUUCCUGGCUCAGGAUCACAAGUGUUAGUGAAACAUAGUUGAUGGAUUGAUGAUAAUAGCAAACGAAAAUUACAUUAAGGUCAGGCUCUCGACGAAAUCUUCUCUUUCGAGCAUCCUUCAUUGGAGGAGUUAAACCAUGUCUGUAUUCAACUGUAUUGGGUGCGGGAUCACCCGGCUCCCUAACUAUGAUCAUCUGUGUAACAAAUAGAUGCAUCCAUAUUCCUUUUAAGUCAAUUCUACAGAGCUUUACACAUAUAAACAAAAAGAUAGAUCAAGUAAAUGGAUUUUACCUGCCCGAUAUCAGCAGUUUUGACUAGUGCACAGUCAUCAUAAGUUUUAAAAGACUCAACAACAGCAGGAAGAUCAAGCAGAGAUGCCGGGAACUCUUCGUUUCCAAUCAUAAACGUACCGCUUCUCCCAUCCUCUGCAAAUUCAAUUAGCACAAAUCCUUAUAUAACAAGUUUGCUCCAGAGACAAUGUAAUUGGGUUUUCCAGACAAAAAAAGAAAAGAAAUAUGCAACAAGAAUGUCUUUUAGCUCCCCUGACAAAACAUACACAUCAUGAAGUUGGUUCAAAGGACAAUGCAAAUCGAUUUAUAGACAAACUCUAGUCCUUAAUCAGAUUCAAGAAUGAUGAAAGAAUAUGUCUUAUAACUUCUCUAACAAAACAUUCAAUUCACAAAAACAACAAUAUAAAAUUGCUAUAGGAGACAAUGCAAAUCGAUUCCUAGACAAACUUUUGAACCUUAAUCUGAUUAAAGAAUGAUACGAAAAGAAUGUCUUUCAGGCAAACAACAUCUAAGAACUCAUAACUUUCAGUACUGAGUAUAAAAAUCUAAAUCCGCGACGCAACCAUGAGACUAAUUUCCGAUGAAAGGACAAAUAUUUAAGAAAAAGGAAGAGACUUUGGAUGCUUAAACACAAAAUACUGUGCCAAAAAGAGACAAAAAAACCCCUUAAUAAAUUGGUACCUGAAAAACACAAAUCCAAAGGGAUUUCGUCGGAAGUAGAAGCCUCCUCGCUCAAAAGCCGAUCAAUUCGCUCUGAAACAGACGGUGGAACCCUAAGUAUGAACUGUUCUUCCAUCAAAAGGUAUCAACGGCUUAACUUGAGAUCUUCGCCGAAUGGAUUAUGCAGAGAGAGACGAGACGAGAAUCUAUUGAACUGUGAGAAACAUAAUUGCUUUGUUAUGUAAUGUCAGAAAUUUUUACAAGUUUAGAAGAGAGAGAAAGACAAACGUUCCAGAAUAAUCCUUUUUGUUAAUCCUAUUUUGUUUUAUUUUCCUCCCCUAUAGGUUUCAAGGUUUAUGUUUUUGACCCAAUUAGUUAUAAAGGUUCUUAAAAACACCCAAUAGUUGAAGAAACUAAAUCAUCAAUUGCCUAUAUUUAAUUCUAAUUUCUCUUCGAUAUCAUACCUUUUUGAUAUCAAUGAAUAUAAAAACAACAAAAAUUAGAAUGGACUAUCCACUUUAAAUAUAGAGUUUAAGGCAAAAACAAUAUUUGGAAAGAAUACUGGGGGUUUAAAUGUAAAACUAAAUAGUAUA
Molecule: long non-coding RNA, 81529 nt
Filed under: Capsella rubella
Lineage: Eukaryota; Viridiplantae; Streptophyta; Magnoliopsida; Brassicales; Brassicaceae
Description: long non-coding RNA (CRUB_LNC005209)
Source: RNAcentral